This 73618-nucleotide long non-coding RNA is filed under the name Zea mays. Its description in RNAcentral is "long non-coding RNA (ZMAY_LNC002269)". Lineage: Eukaryota; Viridiplantae; Streptophyta; Magnoliopsida; Poales; Poaceae. The record is from RNAcentral.
UAAUCAACCUCUCAUGAUGAAUUAUAUUUCAAAAGAGCUCACCUAGCGCAUGUGUUACAAGACAAUAUUAUUUUUUCAAUGGCUUUUUUUGGCACCAGACCACCCAAGAAAUAAGUUAUGCUACAUGUCUCUUCUGACGCCUUGUUGUGUUGGGUUGAUAUUAUUACAUAAACUAAAUACAUUAUUUAUUUAAGAUUUUAGGAGAAAUAUGUUGAUCUGAUCCACCUUCAUUAUCGAGAUGGUUGUACAUUUGAUUUUCCAAUGUUUUAAUACUUAUGAAAUUCUUUGUUUUUGUUGUUUCUAUGCCUGGAUUAAUAAAGUUUGUUUUAUCAUUUUUAACAUAUUGUUCAUGCUCAUUUUUUUGUCAAAAAUAUCAGUUAUAUAACCAUGGAUCUUUAGUGAGAAGCUCCUAUUACUUACCCUAUACAUCUUUCCUUGUUAGAGAUUAGUUUCUUGGAUUUUUGGUGGACAAUAUUUUUCCAUGAAAAAUCCAACGGUCGUUCAUGUUCAUUUUGGCCAAAAAUAUUAGUCAUAUACACAUGAAUCUUUGGUGAGGGCCUCUAGCCUAGUGGUUAAAGGCUCUCGAGUAGCACCUCCAAGUCCCGGGUUCGAUCUCCCUCGUGGGCAAAUUUUUCGGAUUAGUGAAAAAAAUCUCCUAGCUAUGUCUCAUCUGUUCUCAAGUUAUGAUAUCAUGUGUGCCCCCUACAUUUGGGCCAUUGCAAAGUGGACAGUUGACACCAAGCCCGUUAGUGAUGGGAAGCCAGGGUUCAGGGAUUUUCUUGGCUGGGACCAGUGUUUCGGUCUCUUCUGUAACACCCUGAAUUUGGUGGUAUAAAAUUUAUUCUCUAAUGCCUACCAAAUUCAGGUGUUACCUCUUGUUUCUCUCUCUCUAGUUUUCUUCUCUCUUCCUUUUUAUUAGAAUUAUGUAUACUAUGUGGGAGAUUAAGUAUUUCUUUACUAUAUCAAAACCUAUGCGAGUCAUGGGAUGUUACAUCAUGCUGAGCCUAAAUUAUACUUUUGCUUGAUGCACAUGUUUGAAUUAUUUGAAUUUGAAUUUGGAGCAUGUUUCAAUUUGGAUUCAAAGGAGAAAAUAAAAGGAAAAAGGAUUAGAAAUUCCGGAAUAAAAGAAAUGGGAAAAGAGCCCAGUCGCCCUCCCUCCUCUGCCUUUCGGCCCAAACCGGCCCAGCUAGCUGCGUCCCGCUCGCUCGCUCGCCUCCUCUCUCUCUCUGCCCGGUGGGACCGCCCCGUCAGCGCUGUUGCGCUCUCGUGCGCACCCGAUCUCGUUGGCUCAUGGGCCCUGCCCAUUAGACUUGUCCCCUCCCCCGCAACCACCACGCCCAUGACGUGCGCCCCAUGCACGGUCAAACUGCGCCCACGCCCCCACGAUCCGCCCAUGUUGCUCGAGCGCCUAGGUGAAUACCCCGCGCCCCCCUCAGCUCGCCCCUCCCUCAUUCACUCUCUUCUAGCCCUCGCGCUCACUCAGCCCGCAGCGCCGCCCCCUCUAUUGCUCCAUUGUUCCGCCGUCCUCGCUGGGCCUCUACCGUCGUCUCGGCCACGGUGAGCUUCGCUGGAGCCUUAUGCACUGGGAACACGCAGUGGUUUCCCAUCUCAUCGAUCCCUUUGCCCGGUCCGUGCUCAACCUCUCCCCUGCACAGGUCGGAGUUCGCCACCGCCAUGGUUUCUUGUCGUCCGGCCAUCCAGAGUCCCCUCACGCCGUGCCAAGCCGCCCCGAGUGCGGUAUCUGGGUAUGUGACCUUCCCCCGAUCUUCUUAUACACAUAUUCCAUCUCACCGUGGGUAAUUUCGGCUUGCUAGAGUGGCCUAUGGUCCGCCCAAGGUCCCCCCCUCCGCUGUCCGCCUGUCUCAGCCCCGUUUCAGUGACCCUGACUUCGCCAUAGUGUUCGUCGAGUCCUCCCAAACCUCUUUGGCUACCAGACCACCCUAGCGCCCCUAGAAACCCUGGUCUGUCUCGCCUUCGACGACAGCACCGCCACGACCGUGAACAGCGCCGCCCUAGGCCGACCAGAGCUGAUAAACUCCCCGUGGCGCCCGAUCCUGACCGUUCAUCCUUGAUCCGUUGGCCUAGGUGCUCGGAUAACGGUUCACUCGGUUCAUUGGACCAGGAACGUUGAUUCGAGAUCCGGUGGCCAGAGUGCCUCACGCCCCCACGCAUCAGCGUCUCGCUCUGCCUCGAGCCCCACAUGUCAGGCGUCCACGCCGAGCCCUCGCCCGAGCCGCCAACCACGUUUGCGCCUCGCCCGAGCCCGCUGACCCGCUAGCCCCAUGUGUCAGUGUCUCGUCCCGCCCUGAGACCCGCCUGUCAGGCGCUCACGUCUGCGUGCACGCAUGCACGCGCGCUCGCCAGAUCUAGUUAUGGCCAUUGAUCUGAGAUCUAACGGCUGGCAGGACCCGACACCUCUUUGGUUUGCAGCUUUAUAAAAAGAACCCUCGGUUUCCAAUAAAUAGAACCCGCUGUCCCUGGAAUUUGCAACCGGGCUUCUGGGAUCUUGCAGAAAGAACCCUAGACUUUAUUUUAAUCACAGAAAUAGGUCUAAUUUUGUAUUUUGAAUUCCAAAACUUGUUUAAUUCAUAUCUUUUGCAUAUGAACUCCAAAUUGGGUGGUUCAAAUUGCAAAGUGUUAAUAAAAUUAUUCUCUAUCUGUUUAAAUUAUCAUCUUUCACUGUCUGCAUGUAUUAAUUUUAUGUCUAUGCUAUAGGUGCUUUUAAAGUAAUGGUUCAUUAUUUAAAAGGAAAUAAAAAGGAAAACACUAAUGAUAAUUAAGUGAUUAACUUUGUGAAGUUAAUAUCAUGUAAUGUAUGAACCCAUCUCUGGUAUAGAUUUAAUAAUCCAUUAAGAUGACUAUAGUAAGUUAUGUAAUCCACUGAUAUAAGCAGUACUAAGAGAACCACAAACCCCUAAGUGUAUUUGUAUAUCCUAGGAUCUAAAUUUCACACUGGUGUCUGUACUUUUCUAUUGGAUUUGUGUUCACAUGAUUGCAAAUGUUUGGUGUAUUAUUCCUUUAUCAUUUCCCAAAUGUGUUGAAUGCAUGAUUGCGUUGCGUAGACAACGAGAAGUUUGUGGUUCCUGAGUGUGUUGCUAGAGACCUCCCUCAGCAGCAACCUAGUGAAGGCAAGUGUCCUCUUACCCAUUAUGUCCUACCUACUUUAAAAUUCACUAUCCCGCAUUACUUAAUUGAAACCUAAGGAUUGACUAGCUUUGUAUUUACCUUGUCCUUGAUUACCUUUUGGGUUAUUAUGGUUAGCUUCAUGCUAUUGCUUUACUUUAAUCAACGAACAUGAUGAGAAUAUUUAUGAUACGAUGAUGCUAUCUUGAUGAUGAUGAUGAUUUGUGAUACUUAAGGGGACUCGGGCUGUUUCCUGAGUACCUCUUCGUAAGGACCUGUUCAUUGAGAGACCACCCGAGAUAACAUUACAACCAUGGGGGUGGAAUGGGAUGCCCUUAGCUGGAUAAUUAGAGGAACUUGAGGUGUAGUCGGCUUUGUCGUAGGGCCGUCAAUGGGGUCCGAGCAUAGUACUUGCUCUGCCGAGGCUGGAUACCGAGGUUCUUUCAAUUUGGUUUUGUUAGUCACCCUUCCUAUGGGGAGAAGUACUGUGUUUAUCAAAAUGAAGAAACCUAACGAGAUGCUAUGACCUCUGGGGAAUCUUUGUAAAGGCUACAUAGUGAAACCUUGUCUACUCACCUUGGUAGUGUUUGAGGGUUUGAUCGACCCGAGGCAAAAAGGGAUCAUGACUCGUGGGUAAAGUGUGCAACUUCUAAAGAGUGUUAGAAACCAGUAUAUCAGUCGUGCUCACGGUUAAGAUUAGCAUUGGGAUCCUUCUUUAUUAGAAUAAUUCUAGAUACUUUUAUGAUGAUGAUUAAUGGUGAUGAUUACAACUGUGGUCUCUGGUAUUUCCUCUGGGAGGUAGUACUUUUGGGUAAUAACUAGGUUUAUUACUAAGGGCAUGUUUGGUUUGUGCCUAAAUGUGCCACACUUUGCCUAAGGUUAGUCGUUCGAAUUGAAUAACUAACCUUAGGCAGAAAAGUUAGGCAAAAUGUGGCAAUUGAGGUAACAAACCAAACAUGCCCUAAAACUUGGCUUACUACUAGUAAUAAAUACCUAACCAACAAAAAGCAACUGCUUUAACCUUAACCCCACAUACAGCUAGUCCACUUUAGCCAAUGGGACAUUUGCUGAGUAUGUUGAUCUGUACUCACCCUAGCUUUAAAACCCCCCAACCCAGGUUGUCCCUAUUGCAAUCAGUGCUCAGGAGGAGAUGAAGGCAACAUGGAGGAAUUUCAGGAGUUUCAGGACUUCGAUGAGUUCUAGUUGUGUUUAGUGGCAAACCCCCAGCCAGCUGCCUGUGAAGGCCUUAUCUUCUACAUUUUGUAUCCACACUUUGAUUAUGUUGAUGACUAUGUUAAGUUAAUGACUCUGUGGAUGUCUUGGACAUCUUGAUGUAAUAAAGUACUAUUCCCGCUAUUUACUUUGAGCAAUGUCUGAUGAUGUCCAACUAUGUAAUCGCUGUGUACGUGAGUUUCUGAUCUUGGCACGUACAUGGUUCACAUUCAGUUUGCCUUCCAAAACCGAGUGUGACAUAAGUGGUAUCAAAGCCUUACUGAUUGUAGGAACACUAACCUAGACUAGAAUGGUCGCCCUAAGGACUAUAGACCCUUGUUCUCACCUUGACCUUUGGUGUCACUUCAAAAGUUGGUCAUCUUGACCAAUUCUAUGUUAUAUUAUUAUCUAUAUACUCAUCUUACAAAUUUUUUAUCUCACUUUGCUUUUGGUUUACUUGCUGGUCACAUAGUUCUAUUCUCACUCUUGUGCUUACGAUAUCUUUUGUAGAUGGUCCGUCUUAGAUGCACUGCACGUAAGUCAGUGAUCCCUUUCUUGCACUCUCGCCUUGCGGAAUGUCCACUGCGCCGCACGAUGACAGGACAAUUGAGUCACCUGGAGAGACUGCACCGACACCUGCACGAGAAGUAGGAGCAUCGGCGCCAGGAGCAGCAGGACUCUUCCCCCUCGCCCCAGCAGGAGGUGGAGUCUGGAGGCGGCCCUCCACUGUGUCUCAGCUAGAGGUGCCCCUGCACCACCAUAGGGCACCCUAGCUGCUAGAGGAGACCCUUACGAAGAUGACGAUGACGGUGAUAGUUCGAGCCACAACAUGGAGCUUUCGGAGGAGCAGGAGUCGUAAGGAUGGAUCGCCCAACCCAUCACUUGUGACACCGCCCGCGGUUGUCAUUUCCACGAUGCUCUCGACACCUUGCUGCAUCAGGCCUUCGACCGACACACUUGGUCUAUUGAGUACCGUUGUGUAGUCUACCAGCACCGUCAUGAGUUAUACUUGGACCAAUGGGAGGCUACUUGCUUGGUGUGUCGUCCGGACGAUGAUCUCCGGGGUGCAGAGGCCUACUUAGAGCAUUAUUCUAUCACUAAGCGAGACACUGUCGAGGCAACCAUGUAGGAUGCUGCAUGGCGUGCGCUUUUGCAGUACUUUUCGUUGUUCAGCAGGGUAGCUGACGGCCUUGACCUGAAGUAUUACCCCUGCCGUUCGACCGGCAGUACCGGAGGUGUGAUUGUCUCACCAUAUGGCGAGGGAAAACCCAAACUAGGCAGUAUGGUGUCACACCCCAGUUCUGGGGGCAAAACCGAAUGCAUAGCAUAUGUGGGCCAGGAUCCAUUUCCCACACAUAUAUUGACAUCACAAGUGUAAUAUAUCAAAAUACAAUGCAAUAAAGGCGUAAAGAGAGUAGAGUACUUUAUUACAUCAUCUGAAUCAAUGUAUCUUUAACAAGUAUCAAAAUCAAAGUAGGGCGGAAUUAAAUAUGGGCACUCUUCCACAAGAAGAUGACAGGCGCAUCGUUAGACUUAAAACUCAUCAUCGUCAUCAGCAAAGUCUUCAGCAUCACCCUCUGAUCAAAAUAUUAGUAAGGGUGAGCUCACUUAUGGUCGGGGCUCAGCAAGUGGGGGAAAUUAAUGCAAGUCAAAAAGGUAGGCUAUGGAUAAGCGGUAAGCAUUUUAGUUGGUCAAUAUUUUAUUAGCAACACCUGUACUACUAAUUGUAGCAUCCCAAAAAUUCAAAUUCUAAAAUAUUCUCAAACUCGCUCUAAAUUCAAAAUGAAUUUCAAAUUUUGUUUCAAAAUGUUUGUUUGCAAGUUGAUAUCAACAAGUAAAGUACAGUGGUCUAUAUUCUCUCUAAAAUCCUCCUCAAAGUAUCCUACAAAUAUUUCCCUAGUGAUCCCCCUCAAAUUCUUCCAGAAAUACCGCCCAGAUAUUUCCCGAGUGAUCCCCUUCAAGUUCUUUCAGAAAUACUACCCAAAUAUUCCACCGAUAUAUCUCCAAGUAUUUUCUUCCUAAGAAAUACCUUCAGAAUCAUUUUUCAAGCCCCCACAAAUAUUUUCUUCAUAACUUUCUUCAUGCUCAUACGUAUACGUAUGCCUCCGGUGUCAUACGUUGAGCUCUACAAGCUAAUUACACUCAUAUAAGACAAAUCCAUGCUAAUCUCCCACUAAUCCUCUAAUCCCUCCCCCUAAUCCCCCCACCAUGGCUAUAAAUAGAGGGGCAAGGGCCUCCUCUCAUCCCACCCCAAGCCAUUUCAUGGCAACUCCCUCUCUCCCCCCCACACACCCACUCCAUGUUCCACACAAGCACACACUAGCACAAGGAUCGUUCGGUCGUUCUUCGAUCGUUCGUCCCCCUGUUCUUAGUUGUUCGUUCAUUCGUCCGAUCGUUUGAUCGUUCGUCCGAUCGUUCAUGGUUCGUUCGUCCGUUCGUCCGAUCGUUCGAUCGUUCGUCCGUUCGUUCGUCCAAAUAAUCUUUUUCCUGCCGUUAUGCUACCGAAAUUCCGUUCGUCCGUUCGUUCGAUCAUUCAAUCGUUCAUCGUUUGUUCAUAGUUCCUAUUCAUCGUUCAUCGUUCGUUCAUCGUCACUAUUUACCGUCACUAUUUUACCGUUACUAUUUACCGUUACUAUUUACCGACACUAUUUUACCGUUACUAUUUACCGUUACUAUUUACCGUCACUAUUUCUCGUCACUAUUUUACCGUCACUAUUUACCGUUACUAUUUUACCGUCACUAUUUACCAUUACUAUUUACCGUCACUAUUUACCGUCACUAUUUUACCGUUACUAUUUACCGUUACUAUUCACCGUUACUAUUUAUCGAUCAUCCGAUCACCCCAAAUUUCAACUACUCAUCCAUCAUGCUGUCCAGUCCACCUAAGACCAGCCAGACCCAUAUUCCAGUUAUACAAACUCCGGUGACUGUGAUUUUCCUUCCAGUGGGAACUUCCCAUCUGGUCACCCAUCCUAGGUUUCUCCAAGUUGAGCACGCUUAACUUGAGAUUCCUUCGAACCAGGCUUCCAAACUCAGAUUCCAAUAAUUCUCGUUUCUAAAUUCUUAUCAAAUUAUUCCCUAUCCAACCAUGUCAUCCCUUAAGCAUGGUUCAUAUUCCAGAAAACUCCCAAAAUACUCUCAUAUUCUGCCUAUAACUCUCCUGUUCAUACUAAGUCAGACGAUUCAUUCGUCACUAUUCUCACCAACAGUGAACUUCACUGUGCUACACCACAUACACCCAGCUAUAAAUACACCCAGCUACCCUCUCCCUCUCCACACACACUCAACACCCUCAGCCAAGGAAAACACCCCACCCACUCAGUUACUCCGCUCUGCCGGCUACACGCAUAGUGUCGCUUCGCCUCUAGUCCACCCUCUUGUUAUCGGAGCGUUCGUGUCGUCUCGUGGAGGCCAGAUCUGCAAGUCUACACCAGGCGGUGGAGCCAGAAGCCAGUUCCGCGAGCUCUUCUCCCCCCUUCGCCGAAUAAGCACGACAAGCUCACUGGAUCCCUUUGAUGCAUAAAUUACCUAUGCUUUUACAACCACAACCCUCAGCCUGUUAUUUUAUGCAUGAUAUGAUUUUGAGACAAGUUAUUAUGGCCACCCAGCCGCUUGCCACAAUCAAUACUUGAUAUAUUUGUUACAAAUGAUUUGAGAAAAGGUGUGAGUUUUCAAAAGAAAAUGCUUUUCAAAAUGUGUAUGAUGAAGGGUUUUCACCCUUAUCACCUUGUGAGUGGGAUAAUCAGGGACUCCCUGGUUUAGGGGAGGGCCUAAGGUGAAGGCUCAGCUGGUUUAGGCGUGAGCAAAAGGAUUGUCCCCUCAUAUAAGGACCGAUUUGUCAUCUUUCACUACCUGUACUCAUGAUAAGUACAACCACUCGAGACUGUGUGGGCAGUCACUCAAUCUGAACUCAUACGGUCCAACCCCAGGGUUAUGAAGGCUGGGGAGCACCGGGAGGAUAAGGAGGGGGAAUGUUUUGUCCGGUUUGGACAUGGUGGUGGCCUGACUCCUUCCGGUAUAACCGUUAAGGUUAGGAUGUGCGAGGAAAGAAAGAGAUUCAGCAUUUGGGUCUCACGACGGUGAGAUCGCAGAAACCGGACUAGUGGGUAAAGUGUACACCUCUGCGCAGAGUUUGAAAACCUAUUCGAAUAGUCCGUGUCCACAGGAAUGGACGAGUCUGGUAUGGUAUGGCAAUUAAUGUUUUGUUUUCAUAAAAGGCUACGUUUGAGAAAAUGUUUUUUUAAAAAGGUUCGGCGGUUGAGCCGUGAGCUAUGGUGGAUGGGAAGUCUAGUAGCUGUUUUUGAAAAUGAAAACCAGUGGGAAACUACUGAGAUACCUGGAUGGUUUAGUCCAGGGGAUUUUGUUCUAAUAUUGAAAAACUUCUCGCUCCUUUGGGAGAGGAUGCGCUUUGGAAAAUACAAAAUGUUUUACAAAACAACCCUGCAUAAAAUAUUGUUGUUUCUGCAAAAUAUCCUGAGCUCCAGAUAUUCCAUGCAUUAUAUCUGAUUUCCCCAUUCCGCGAGUGAAGGUGGGCUGCUGAGUACGUUUGUACUCACCCUUGCUUAUUUAUUUUUUUUCAGAAAAAGGAGAUCGGGUAAGAGUUACGACUGUUCCCAACCUUGCUUGUGGCUGCUGGACCGCUGAUUUGCUUCGCUGUGUAUAUCGGACUGCUUCAGCCCCACUCUGAUGAUAUGUCCCGAGUUGUGGACCAACUCUUAAAGUUGAUCGCCACCUUUAUAGGUUUGUCUCGUUUAAGCAGAUCUGUAAUCAUCUGAUGUAUAAAUGUGUUUACUAGCCUCCUGGGACUAGUAAUUGUAUCACAUUUGAGUCCAAGAGGAUUGGGGCGCUUCAGGUGGUAUCAGAGCUAUUAGGUUGGCCGCAGGACGUAACCCUUAGCCUGAUCAAAAGUUUUUGAGUUAAAACUAUUUUCUUAAAAAAAUUCUUGCUCUCAUCCCUUCAUUUCAAAAAUGUUUUCCCCCUUUCCUUCUCUCAGAAGUCAGAUGAAGGUUCAGUGCCAAACCAGCUUUUGCCAGAAUGAAGAUGGUUUCCCCAUGUUGCUGAGAGCAUGCAUAGUCCGCCUCGGAAUCAGGAGCCAACCAGAGUAUGACGGUCGUGAAUUCAUCGAGCAUGGCACAGAGAAGUGUGUCGUGACUGUGUACAUUGGAUCCAGUCCGCACCAUGUGGAAUGGAGUGUCACUGCUGCUGGGCACAGAUUCAAAGACACCUGCCAAGUCGUCGCUCGCAAGGCAUUGAGGACCCUAUGUCAGAUCUAUGAAGAAGAAGUGGCCGACACCCCGCUCAGAUUCUUUCCACCCUUUCAGAGAGACCGUCCCGUUUGGAUGGCUAGGAUGCGUGCAUUGGAAGAGCAGCAGCUGCUUGAAGAUGACCCCACAGUCGUGUACCUCACUACAUACCUGCUCACCCUGGAUGCGCAGUAUGAUUUCUUGGCUCGGCACCACCGUCAGAUGAUUGCCCGAGCAGAAGAUGCAGAGAAGCUCAACCGUAAGCUCCAUGUGGAUCUCACCUCAGCUCAAGCCCGUGUAGCUGCCUUGGAAAGUCGUGAAGCCAUUGCUGUUGAAACCCUGAAGCAAGCCAAGGAUGAGCACGUCCAGAAGUUGAUGGAGGCCUACUUGGUAACCCAUAACCAACGUAGAGCCCUGCGGAUCCAAGAGCCUGCUUCAUCCAACCCAGUUCAACCCAUGAGAGCUGAAGAUCCCCCGAUUCUUGAAGGUUACCCGGUCUCUACCAGAGGAGAAAAGAAGGUUUGGAAACUCCCGAAAGGAUCCAUAGUCUUGGAAGGAAUUCCAAUCUUCCCUCAGGCUAUGAAUAAGCAAGAGCACCCCGAGUCCUCCCAAGAUCCCCGCCGGAGUUGUUUGAGCCCCUUACCAUGAAGAAGAUUCCAGCACCAUCCCUUGAAGUCAAGGAAGAAGCUGCAAGCACCCCGCCAACACCGCUGCCCUCUGAGGAACUACAAGAGUCAGUCCAGCUUGAAGAAGAGUUCGACCCCGUGCUGCCAUCUCAGUUGCCGACAGAAGAAGUAAUGAACAUCAGCUCCCUCUUGACCCAUCCAGGAGAUGUCUCAGAUUGAAGUUGUGCGCCAGCCUUGCCAGAAGAGAAGUUGUCUGGUCUGAAGUUAGUUAUGCCCAGUCCUCUACAUGCAUUGGGUAGUGAAGUUUUUCUUCACUUUGGCUAGAGCCCUACAUGUAUGAGAGGUAAUCGCGUAGACUCGUGUUUUGCAAAACUCUAAUUGUGUGGCCCCCUAGGGCAUUUCAAAAUGAAUUUCGCUUGAUGUUUUCUCCCCUUUUGAGUGCAUAUGUGAUGCUUUAACGUUAGUGCUCAUAAGUCGCAUUUUAGCAUAGUUCUCAGUUCAGGAGCCGAGCAAUAGUAGUUAUGCUUAGCCCCCGAAUCCAAGUAGUUCGUGAUUUGGAAAAACUCUAUUCUUCCCUUAUUCAAAACAUUUGAUUUGUUUGUGCUUAUCAUUGCUGAACUUAUGUGUUUUCUUUCUUUUUAAGAAAGGUUUUCUCUAAAAACAUAAAUCACAAAUUAGAUCUAAUCCUCACCUUAUGCUUCCAUUCUCAUCUUAACCAAUCUCAAGAGAAAAGUGCCUUACCCAAGAAGAUACCGGGAAGCUUACCCUUGAAGCCUGGAAUAAGCUAUAGAAGAAACCAGUCCAGCCGCUCAGUCAAAAGGACCGACCAUGAGAAUCAAAGCACUGCCCCUGAGUCAAAGUAAACAGAAAAAGAGGACAGAAGGAGUUAUUACCAUAUAGAGAGGCAAAGAUUCUUGGAACCAGAGACCACAAACAUCAGGGUCAUCGACCCCACCACUCACCCGUGCCCCCGCACGCAUGCCCGCCUCCAUGCGCACUACCACGCCCCCCUUUGCAGCGCACCCACCGCCAUCGUCGCCGGCAACAGGCCCCCCUUCCCCUUGUCACACCUGCUGCCUCGUGUCACCUGCUCCAUCACUACCACUCCACACCCCCCAAGCACCCCCGCUCGCCUAUAAAACCCCCCACCAGCACCCUCAACUCCCAUCUCGCUCAAAGCAAAGCACACUCCAGAUAAAACCCCCUCUGCUAAAUCGCAAGCAACCCCAUUUCCCACUCCCUCGCCCCUAAGAUCACAAUGCUUGGUGAUUCUUGGGUUGAAGACUGUUGCACAUGGUUCAUAGUCUUUGGUUUCCUCCAGUGUAUGAUGGUAAUACUCUUUGAUAGAAUCCUCCAGUGGGAAGAGCAAAGAGAAAGAAAGAGACAGUGAAAAGUGAAAAGAGAAAAGAAGAUAGCAAAGAGAAGAUGAGAAGAAGGUUGUCCCAGAAUCAACCCUGUGUCAGUCAUUUCUCCGCAGCCUGCUCAAGCAACAACAGCACAAGAAGGCCCCAUAACACCCUUGUUAUGAGGUACUUCAAAGAGUUCAAAUCCCCAAGAUUCAAUAGUUCCACCCUCAUUCUUUUUAAGUGGGGUAGUGUUCCAGUAAGGUUCCUGCUAUGGAGAAAAAGAAGAAGGCCUGUAGCAAGCUUGUGGAGGACCAGAUCAUCGAAGCAUAUAAGUUCCUGGAUGAGAAGUGGUCACCCAAGUUUUGUUGAUGAAGCACCAGAAGACCAAUCAAGGAAGGAAUCCAUGUGGGAGUUCGCGAGAGAAAGGUUGCAUGUUGGCAUCGUUGCUUCUUCAAUAAGCUAGCUGCCAAGCGAAAGCUAGAAGCCUGAAGAUGAUCUUUGAUUAGCCAGAAUCAGCGUUUGCAAUCAGCAACCGGAUGCCCCUCAAAGGCCAGAUUUUGUUGAAGCUCUAUCUUCUCGAAAAGUUUGCAAAGUGAAGAUAUGUAGCUGAAGUAAAGAUAUACACAUAACCCUUCUAAGCCGAAUCUUGAGGACAAGAUUCCUUUUAAGUGGGGUAGAUUUGUAGCAUCCCAAAAAUUCAAAUUCUAAAUAUUCUCAAACUCGCUCUAAAUUCAAAAUGAAUUUCAAAUUUUGUUUCAAAAUGUUUGUUUGCAAGUUGAUAUCAACAAGUAAAGUACAGUGGUCUAUAUUCUCUCCAAAAUCCUCCUACAAAUAUUUCCCCAGUGAUCCCCCUCAAAUUCUUCCAGAAAUACCGCCCAGAUAUUUCCCGAGUGAUCCCCUUCAAGUUCUUUCAGAAAUACUACCCAAAUAUUCCACCGAUAUAUCUCCAAGUAUUUUCUUCCUAAGAAAUACCUUCAGAAUCAUUUUUCAAGCCCCCACAAAUAUUUUCUUCAUAACUUUCUUCAUGCUCAUACGUAUACGUAUGCCUCCGGUGUCAUACGUUGAGCUCUACAAGCUAAUUACACUCAUAUAAGACAAAUCCAUGCUAAUCUCCCACUAAUCCUCUCAUCCUGCCACUAAUCCUCUCAUCCCUCCCCCUAAUCCCCCCACCAUGGCUAUAAAUAGAGGGGCAAGGGCCUCCUCUCAUCCCACCCAAAGCCAUUUCAUGGCAACUCCCUCUCUCCCCCCCACACACCCACUCCAUGUUCCACACAAGCACACACUAGCACAAGGAUCGUUCGGUCGUUCUUCGAUCGUUCGUCCCCCUGUUCUUAGUUGUUCGUUCGUUCGUCCGAUCGUUUGAUCGUUCGUCCGAUCGUUCAUGGUUCGUUCGUCCGUUCGUCCGAUCGUUCGUCCGUUCGUUCGUCCAAAUAAUCUUUUUCCUGCCGUUAUGCUGCCGAAAUUCCGUUCGUCCGUUCGUUCGAUCAUUCGAUCGUUCAUCGUUCGUUCAUAGUUCCUAUUCAUCGUUCAUCGUUUAUUCAUCGUCACUAUUUUACCGUCACUAUUUACCGUUACUAUUUACCGUCACUAUUUUACCGUGACUAUUUUACCGUUACUAUUUACCGUUACUAUUUACCGUUACUAUUUCCCGUUACUAUUUCCCGUCACUAUUUUACCGUCACUAUUUUACCGUUACUAUUUACCGUCACUAUUUACCGUUACUAUUUACCGUCACUAUUUUACCGUUACUAUUUACCGUUACUAUUUACCGUUACUAUUCAUCGAUCAUCCGAUCAACCCAAAUUUCAACUACUCAUCCAUCAUGCUGUCCAGUCCACCUAAGACCAGCCAGACCCAUAUUCCAGUUAUACAAACUCCGGUGACUGUGAUUUUCCUUCCAGUGGGAACUUCCCAUCUGGUUACCCAUCCUAGGUUUCUCCAAGUUGAGCACGCUUAACUUGAGAUUCCUUCGAACCAGGCUUCCAAACUCAGAUUCCAAUAAUUCUCGUUUCUAAAUUCUUAUCAAAUUAUUCCCUAUCCAACCAUGUCAUCCCUUAAGCAUGGUUCAUAUUCCAGAAAACUCCCAAAAUACUCUCAUAUUCUGCCUAUAACUCUCCUAUUCAUACUAAGUCAGACGAUUCAUUCGUCACUAUUCUCACCAACAGUGAACUUCACUGUGCUACACCACAUACACCCAGCUACCCUCUCCCUCUCCACACACACUCAACACCCUCAGCCAAGGAAAACACCCCACCCACUUAGUUACUCCGCUCUGCCGGCUACACGCAUAGUGUCGCUUCGCCUCUAGUCCACCCUCUUGUUAUCGGAGCGUUCGUGUCGUCUCGUGGAGGCCAGAUCUGCAAGUCUACGCCAGACGGUGGAGCCAGAAGCCAGUUCCGCGAGCUCUUCUUCCCCCUUCGCCGAAUAAGCACGGCAAGCUCACUGGAUCCCUUUGAUGCAUAAAUUACCUAUGCUUUUACAACCACAACCCUCAGCCUGUUAUUUUAUGCAUGAUAUGAUUUUGAGACAAGUUAUUAUGGCCACCCAACCGCUUGCCGCAAUCAAUACUUGAUAUAUUUGUUACAAAUGAUUUGAGAAAAGGUGUGAGUUUUCAAAAGAAAAUGCUUUUCAAAAUGUGUAUGAUGAAGUGUUUUCACCCUUAUCACCUUGUGAGUGGGAUAAUCAGGGACUCCCUGGUUUAGGGGAGGGCCUAAGGUGAAGGCUCAGCUGGUUUAGGCGUGAGCAGAAGGAUUGUCCCCUCAUAUAAGGACCGGUUUGUCAUCUUUCACUACCUGUACUCAUGAUAAGUACAACCACUCGAGACUGUGUGGGUAGUCACUCAAUCUGAACUCGUACGGUCCAACCCCAGGGUUAUGAAGGCUGGGGAGCACCGGGAGGAUAAGGAGGGGGAAUGUUUUGUCCGGUUUGGACAUGGUGGUGGCCUGACUCCUUCCGGUAUAACCGUUAAGGUUAGGAUGUGCGAGGAAAGAAAGAGAUUCGGCAUUCGGGUCUCACGACGGUGAGAUCGCAGAAACCGGACUAGUGGGUAAAGUGUACACCUCUGCGCAGAGUUUGAAAACCUAUUCGAAUAGUCCGUGUCCACAGGAAUGGACGAGUCUGGUAUGGUAUGGCAAUUAAUGUUUUGUUUUCAUAAAAGGCUACGUUUGAGAAAAUGUUUUUUAAAAAAGGUUCGGCGGUUGAGCCGUGAGCUAUGGUGGACGGGAAGUCCAGUAGCUGUUUUUGAAAAUGAAAACCAGUGGGAAACUACUGAGAUACCUGGAUGGUUUAGUCCAGGGGAUUUUGUUCUAAUAUUGAAAAACUUCUCGCUCCUUUGGGAGAGGAUGCGCUUUGGAAAAUACAAAAUGUUUUACAAAACAACCCUGCAAAAAAUAUUGCUGUUUCUGCAAAAUAUCCUGAGCUCCAGAUAUUCCAUGCAUUAUAUCUGAUUUCCCCAUUCCGCGGGUGAAGGUGGGCUGCUGAGUACGUUUGUACUCACCCUUACUUAUUUAUUUUUUUUCAGAAGAAGGAGAUCGGGUAAGAGUUACGACUGUUCCCAACCUUGCUUGUGGCUGCUGGGCCGCUGAUUUGCUUCGCUGCGUAUAUCGGGCUGCUUCAGCCCCACUCUGAUGAUAUGUCCCGAGUUGUGGACCAACUCUUAAAGUUGAUCGCCACCUUUAUAGGUUUGUCUCGUUUAAGCAGAUCUGUAAUCAUCUGAUGUAUAAAUGUGUUUACUAGCCUCCUGGGACUAGUAAUUGUAUCACAUUUGAGUCCCAGAGGAUUGGGGCGCUUCACUAAUAAGUGUGCAUCCCCAGUAUCCCAAUUGAUCAAAGAUAUAAGAAUAUAUCAAAAGCACUUAAGUGAAACCACUUAAGCAAACCAUUGGUAGAUCAUCAGAUCUUGAUUUAUUGUCCAUCUUUAAGUUCAAUUAUCAUGUGAGGGUCAACGUUGCUCUUAACCGUGAGCAUGGCUGACAUAUCAGUUUUACACUCUACAGAGGUGGUACAACUUUACCCAUAAGCCAUGUAUACCAUCUAGCCUGGGUUGAUUGGACCCGUAAACACUGCCGAGGUGAAUGCCUAGGGAUCCAUUAUGAGGCUUUCACAAAUAUCCUUAGUACAAAGCCACCCGCUAAGGUUUCCACGUCAGUAUUAAUGGCCCUGUAGUGAGGUAACUUAGCCAAGACUACCACCCCAUGUUAACAUGAGCUGCCACCAAACCACUGCCGCCCCCUCUUGCCCAUCUUUCAGGUAGGGUUGCUAAGCACUAAGUCUAUAGAGCUAAUUAUCAAAGCUAGAGCCAUGAUAGCACUCGUGGUUGCACUGUUAUCUUGGAUGGUCACUCCAUGCUCCAUUUAACACAAAAUGUUCUUGUUUAACCAUCGGGUUAACAUCAUAAUAAAACUUCAUUUCCGGAACAUAGUAUCAUUAAAAGAGUGACAUCAUAUUCAUCAUGUUGAGCAAUAGCAAAAAUUGAUAAGCAAAGCAUUUAUCCCAGGGUAAUUCACGGAAUAGGGUUGGUAAUUCUAGGAAAUCCUUAUUUAGGCAAAUCCCAUCAAAUUAUGCAAUAUAUCCAAAAAGUAAACAUUAUUAUAUGCAUUAAUUGGGUACAAAUAGAAUAUGUAGAGGGAGAAUCCACUUGUCUUGCUCGAAAGUGUCCUGUGGGUCAUCCUCGAACGAGUUUGGUUCGUCUACCUCACAGUCAACUUCUAGCAUCGAUUUGCGUAUCGUACAUACAAAAAGAAUACGUUCGCCAAAUAAAUAAACACACGCCAUUACAGGGGUAAUCAUUCACCAUUACAUUCACAUUCAUGCAUCACACAUUUAUACUCAUAAAUACGUUUUAAAGCGUAAAUACUUAUUAAUCCAUUAUGACUACUACUGUGAGUUAUUAUUGGUGAAAAUAUGAGUAAGUGACUAUGACACUAGUUUUAUCUAGUAAAAUAUAGAUAAACAUAUAUUAACAAUUUUUAUGGAAAAUAAUUGCUAAUCAUUUUCUUUCUUACUAAUAAUAGACUUUUGAGUUUUAUCCCUUUUAUUUCUAAAUAGAAAUGAUAUGUGUAGCUAAAAAUCAUUUAUUUAUAAUUCUUCUAACAUUAAUAUUCUAAGAAUUAAUGUAAAUUACUAAUUGGAAUUUUAAUAACAUAAUCAUGGUUAUUAUGACAUCAACAAGUAUUUUACUAAUUCUAAGUAAUCAAGUGCUAUACUUAUGAAUACAUUUAUCAUGACUAGCAAAAUUUAUAUUUUCCAUCUGACCGAGAAUACGUGGCCUAGUAUUUCUUCUACUUUCUUUUAUCAAUAAAAUUAUACUUAAAACACUACUAACAAUUAUCAUUCAUGUGCUAAAGCGAGAUCAAUCAUAAUCGUCUCUAGUAUAAAAAUAACCAAGUUAGUGACUAGUGACGUAAUUUAUUUUUGAAAUAUAAAUUCAUACACCUGUCAAAAUAUUUUUGCAAGGCUUGUUUAUGAUUACACGUAUACGUCGGAGCCUCUUUUCGGUAAUUUCUAAACUAAAAAUCUCGAAAUUAAUUUAAUUUACAAAACUAGGAACUAAAAUGUAAAAUGUGCUUCUUCUACCUUGAGCUAGAGCUCACGAGCGGGGAUGGAGAUCGACGGGGGAGGGAGUUCGGCCGGGCAGAGGAGAAGGGACUCAGUCGUGGGGCGCGGACGGGGGAACGGGCGCGGACGGCGAGGUUCGACGACAAAGCUCCGGCGAGGCGCGGACGGUGGGGCAGACGGUCCGACGGACGGGCGAGCGCGGGCAAAUUCGAGAGCGAGGAGAGCGAGAGAGAGAGAGAAAGCUCAGGGAGGGAGAGAGGAAGGGAGUCCGGCUGCUUUUAUAGAGCGAGAGGGGAGAGGAGAGGGCGAGCCGGGAAGAGAAACGACCGGUCUUCAACUCCAUCAAUGGUGGCGGCCAUUAACGACGCCAUUAGGGAGAGAACGUGGGGGAGGGAGAGAUAGGGUCGGGCGGCGGUUUCCGGCUCAGUGUGGCGCGGAUGUCGAGGGCGCGAGGCGUGCGGGCGCGACGCGGUGGCGGCGACGCGGGAGGGAGAAGAGAGAGGGGGCCGCGGUGGGGCCCAUCCGUAAGAGAGAGGGAGGGGAUAGGGCGCGGCCGGUUGGGCCCUGGUGGGCCGAAAUGGCCGGUCGGCUAGGGUUUCUUUCUUUCUUUCUUUUCUUUUCUAUUUAAAAAUAUAAAUAUAUUUAAAAAUCAUAAUUAUUAUACCAAAAUUAUUUAUAACUAAAAUAAUUAUUUUUGGACCAAUAUUUUUAUAUUAAUUAAUUGGAUUUAUAAUAUAGAAGAAAUUCUAUUCAACGUCCAAAAAUCAAAUAUGAGCAAACAAAAUUAUUCUAAAUGUAAAUAAACAUCGAACACUUGAAUGAAAAUUCAUUACCAUAUUUACCAUUAAUAAACUAAAUGCAUUAUUUUUAGUUGAUGGUUUUUAUAGUGUUACAAACCUACCCCCUUAAAAGAAUCUCGUCCUCUAGAUUAAGGAACUUCUGAGAAUAACUGGGGAAAUUCUGCUCUGAGUUUAUCUUCUCUUUCCCAAGUGGCCUCAUCUUCCAAAUGAUGACUCCACUAAACUUUGCACAUGUUGACAACUUUACUCCGUGUAAUUCUGCGAGAUGUUUCCAAAAUUCUAAUAGGGUACUCCGAAUAAGUCAAAUCCUCCUUAACAUUGAGUUCUUCCAUAGGAAAUUGUUCCUCCGGUACUCUUAAGCAUUUAUUAAGUUGUGACACAUGAAAUACGUCAUGCACAUCCAUCAAACUAUCGGGUAGCUCUAACUGGUACGCUACUUCACCUUUUCUUUCCAAAAUCUUGAACGGGCCAAUGUAGCGAGGACAUAGUUUACCCUUAACCUUAAAUCUUUUCAUGCCUCUCAUCGGUGAAAGUUUAAGGUAUACGAAGUCUCCUACUUCAAAUAUCAAUUCUCUUCUUCUAUUGUUAGCAUAGCUUUUCUAUCUCGACUGUGCUGUUUUCAGAUUCUCUCUGAUAAUAUGUACUUGCUUUUCUGCUUCUUGGAGAAUUUCUAGACCAAAUACUUGACUUUCUCCGGUCUGGUUCCAAUAAAGCGGUGUUUCUACACUUUCGUCCAUAAAGUGCUUCAAACGGUGCUAUUUUUAAACUUGCCCAGUAACUAUUGUUAUACGAGAAUUCUGCAUAAGGCAAACUUUUAUUCCAGCUUCUACCAAGCUUUAGAGCGCAAGCUUUUAGCAUAUCUUCCAACACUUGGUUUGUUCUUUCCGUUUGCCCAUCCGUUUGCGAAUGAUAAGCUAAACUAAAGUUUAGCUUGGUAUCCAUGGACUCAUGUAGUAUUUUUCCAAAAGUGUGAGGUAAAUUGGGUUCCUCGAUCCGAUAAGAUCUUCUUUGGUACUCCGUGCAGACAAACAAUUCUUGACAUGUAUAACUCUGCUAACUGGGCUCCUAAGUAAGUUGUUUUUACAGGUAUAAAGUGUGCCACUUUAGUCAACCUGUCCACUAUAACCCAUAUUGAAUCAUAGCCAUCCCGAGUACGGGGUAGUCCAACUAUGAAAUCCAUAGUGAUUCCUUCCCAUUUCCAUUCCGGUACUUUGAGAAGUUGUAGCAAUCCUGCUGGUCUUUGAUGUUCGACAUUUAACUUGUUGACACACGUCACAUAGUGCAACAUGAGUAGCCACAUCUCUUUUCAAACUGUACCUCCAAUACUUUUCCUUAAGAUCCUGGUACAUCUUAGUACUUCUAGGGUGAAUAGAAUAAGUUGAAUCAUGGGCUUCUCUUAAGAUAAGUUGGCGUAGGUGCUAGAUUUCUGGUACACAAAUUCUCUUUUUAAACCAUACUGUGCCUUGAUCAUCUUCUGUGAAAUAUGGGGCUUUUCCCAAACUAAUUUGUGUCUUAAUUUCCUUGAUUUUCUCAUUAGUCUCCUGUCCUUUACGAAUCUCUUCUUCUAAAGUAGAUUCAACUUCCAUAACUGUUGCUUCCAUAUUAUUGAGCAUACCAAGGUUGAGUUGUUCCAUCUCCCAGCACAAUUCUUGUGACAUCAAAUGAGUAGUGAUGUUGUUCACUUGACCUUUACGACUCAAAGCGUCAGCCACUACAUUUGCUUUACCUGGGUGAUAUUGUAUUUCCAAAUCAUAGUCCUUGAUUAACUCAAGCCAUCUUCUUUAUCUUAAGUUGAGUUCUUUCUGCGUGAAGAUGUAUUUCAAGCUUUUGUGAUCCGUGAAGAUUUUACACUUGUUUCCAAUCAUGUAGUGCCUCCAAAUCUUCAAAGCGUGCACUACGACAGCCAAUUCCAAGUCAUGUGUAGGGUAAUUCUUUUCAUGUUUUAGUAACUGCCUUGAAGCAUAGGCAAUCACUUUUCCUUCUUGCAUUAACACACAUCCAAGUCCUAGAUGUGAUGCAUCGCAAUACACAUCAAAUCCUUUAUGAAUAUCAGGCAUGAUUAACACUGGUGCAGUGGUUAGCCUUUCCUUUAAUUCCUCGAAACAUUUCUGACAUGCUUCAUCCCACUUGAACUCUUUACCUUUCUCCAAUAGUGAAGUAAGAGUUUCACUAUUUUUGAGAAGCCUUCAAUAAAUCUUCUGUAGUAUCGUGCUAAUCCAAGAAAACUUCUGAUCUUGGACACAUCUGUGGGUUCUUUCCAAUUUAGUAUCUCACUUAUUUUACCAUGGUCUACUUUGAUUCCUCCAUUGGUGAUAAUAUGACCUAGGAAAGCAACUUUAGCAAAAAAAUCACACUUCAAAAAUUUCGCAUACAACUAAUUGUCGUGAAGCUUCUGUAGAACUAAUCUCAGAUGAUCUUCAUGUGCUUCUUCAUUCUGAGAGUAUACUAGUAUGUCGUCAAUGAAUACCACUACAAACCGGUCAAGGUAUUCCAUGAAUACUUUAUUCAUCAAGUUCAUAAAGUAUGUUGGUGCAUUAGUCAGUCCAAAAGACAUGACUAAAAACUCAUAUAGUCCAUAUCUUAUGGUGAAAGCUGUUUUAGGUAUAUCUUCAGUCCGUAUCUUCAACUGAUGAUAGCUUGAUCUUAGAUCUAUCUUUGAAAUAUUGUAGCUCCUCUCUUCUAAUCAAACAGAUCUUCAAUCCAAGGUAACGGGUACUUAUUCUUAAUCGUUACUUCGUUCAAACUUCUAUAGUCCACACACAUUCUCCUUGAACCAUCUUUCUAGUUCACGAAUAGAACUGGGGCUCCCCAUGGUGAUGAACUGGGGCGAAUAAAACCUUUUUCUAGUAAUUCUUCUAUUUGUUUCUUCAGUUCAAUUAAAUCUUUGACAUCCAUUCGGUAAGCUCUUUUUGAAAUUGGUGCAGUUCCGGAUAAUAGUUCAAUAGAAAACUCUAUAUCAUGAUCAGGUGGCAUACCUGGUAAUUCCUCUGGAAAUACGUCUGGGUAUUCACACACUAUCCUGAUGUGCUCCAAAGAUUUGUCUUCCAACUGAUUUAUCAUUGUCUCUGCUGUUGCUGGCAUACUGACAUUGACUUCAAUUCUUUCUCCUUGUGGACUAGUUAAUGUAACCAUCCUCUUGGCACAAGAUAUCACUCCAUCAUACUUGGUCAAGUAGUCUAUUCCGAGUAUCACCUUGAUUCCACUUGAUCCCAAAAUUAUUAGCUCUACUAGAAAACUUAGGCCUCUAAUUUCAAUCUUAGUCUGAGGGCAUGAGUGAGUAGCUCUAAGUUCACCUCCUAGUGAUCGAAUUAAUAGUUUCUUCUUCAAGGGAUAGUUUGGUAUAUUAUGUUUUCCACAAAUGACUGUUACGAAGGAGUGAGAUGUUCCAGAAUCAAAUAAAACUGAUGCAGGUAUGAAGUUAAUAAGAAAUAUACUAUACACCACGUCAGCAUCCUUAGGAACUAAUUCUGCUGUCAAAUGGUUGACUCUUCCUCUACUCUGGUUCUGCGGAGUCCUGUUCUGUGCAGAUCCACGAGCAGGUGUGUUCUGGUUAGUCCUUUGGUUGUUCUUCUUCUGGGGUGUCUGUGGGUUAUGCCUAGGGGCAGUUGUUGGCAUAAUGGCCAAGUUCGCCACACUUAAAACAACCAUUGGGUUGAACAGGAGUAGUUGCAUUGUUGUUCAUGGCCGGUGUGUUCACGAUGCUUCCCUGACGAUUCUACUGUUGCCCACUAGACCUUUGGUCGGUCUAGGUGUUGCUUCUCUGCUAGUUCUGGUAUUGAUUGUUCCUCUGACUUUGUUGUCCAGAGCGUUGUGCUUGAUAGUUGUUGUUCCCACUCUGGUUUCCGGAGCGGAACUGAGAACCUUAGGAGUUGUUUUGUCGGGUAUUUCUGCCGGUCUGCCCUUGGUACUUCCUCUUGUGGUCGGACAGUUCUUUCCUUUUGUUCUCAAGGCCAAUUGCCUUUUUCAGUGAAGUCUAGAAAUUAGGGAAACUGUGGCUCUGUAGCUGGUAGUUGAAUGGUCCAAUCAAGCCUUCCAAGAAACAUUCUCGUCGGUGUCCACUUCCUCUGGGGCGUAACGUGAAAGAUGGGUGAAGCGAUCACGAUACUCACUAACAGACAUGUUCCCUUGAGUGAGGGAAAGGAAAUCCUUCUUAAGCUUCAUAAUUCUUGAGGGAAUGUGAUGAGCGUGGAAGUUCACUUGGAACUCCUGCCAGGUUAUGGCAUCACCAUUGGCGUGUGCCGCAGUGAAGGCAUCCCACCAAUCGGACGUGGUUCCUUCGAGUCUUCUCGAGGCAUACAAGAACUUUUCUCGGUCAUUGCACUGGGUGAUGUCUAACUUCUUUCCAAUGAGCUUAAGCCAGUCAUCAGCAUCCAAAGGGUCUACUGCGUGAGAGAAAGCAUGCGGGUGAUGACUCAUGAAGUCCCGAUGCUUGUCUAUAGCUUGGGGUGCGUGCUGCUAUUGUUGUUGGUACAAUUGGUUUUGCUGAUUCUGUUGAAUUUGCUGUACCGAAGCUGUAAGUCCUUGCAGAAGUUGCAUCUACGCUGCGACGAACUGAUCCAUCGUGGGAUUGGGUGGUGUUGGCGGUAAUUGCUGACCACGCUGAUGGUUAUUGGGACCUGAUCGAGUGUUCACCAUCUGUUUGGUUAGAAAGUGCACUCCCAGGGUAAGUAAGGAGUAGAGAAGAUUCUAAGGGAAAUAGCUUAUUAUUAAGGUUAAGUUCAUUGUUAUAUUAUUUUUAUGCUCUUAUGACCAUCAUUCCAUAAGACCAUUGCACUCAAGCAAAAAUCCAAAUCAAACAUUUCAAGCAACACCAUCACAUGGUUGUUAUUAUUAAUAGUGUAAUAAUAUAAAGAUGUUUUUCGUCUAUCGUGGAAACUAACUUAUUACAACAUAAAUGAAAAAUCUAAAGCAGCCUGGUGAUGGAUCCUGGUUCUCCAUAGCGGAUCCUCAUGUGGGGAGGGGAUAACGCCAUGGCAGGGACUUGAACUUCAGGGGGAUUCCUUCCAUCGAGCUGAGCUUCCAGUGCUGCGAUCCUUCAUGUGCAUCCUCCAGCUCCAAGUGUACCCUAGAGAGGUCCAGAGUAGCACUAUCUAGGUCGGCGUUAAGACCUGCCACCACACCAGCUAAGGUGUUGAGGCAAUCUUCAUUUGCUCCACCUGGAACAAUGCUAGUCUGGUUCUCUCCACGAAUACGUAGAGGAAGAUGCCUGUACUUCGUAUUGUGCAGCUGCUAUCGGUAGGUGUGGCUGAGAGACCACAGAGUUUGCCUAGCAGCAUCGCUGACCGAAGCAACGUAGGUGGAUAGCGACGUCAGAGACUCAUGUGCUGACAGAGUCCUGAAUCCUCUAUCACUUGCAUCCAUUACCCUGACAUGAAUAUGAGUGAUGUAGUAGCAUGCCCGAGGAGGCUCGUACACUCACCUGGUCUCAUAUAGGGGUCAGACAUAGGUUCCCAACUCGUGCAGAACAUCCUGCAGUAGGUUAGGGAAGUGCCCUGUCUCGAACAUUGAGGUGUAAUGUUCAGUGACAGGCCAUAACCCCAUGUAGUGGUCCUACUGUUCUUCGUUGGCUUCAUCGUUGAGGUUUUCCUCAUCUUCAUCUUCUUCUUCUUCCUCGUCGUCUUCAUCAUCGUCACAAGAGUCGUCUAGGUCGUCGCCUCCAGGAGCAGGGGCUUGGACUGCUGGUGCUGGCGGUGCUGAAGCUGACAAUCCAGCUGCGAAGGCUAGUUAUUUUGCCAACGGGGUGGACGUAGGCAGAAACUCUUCCGAGCUGUCCUCCAGAAUGACUCCGUUCUCCACCCGAAUGCGAGGGAGAUCCACAGGAAUUUACUCGACUACCACUGGGUAGACAGGAACUUGCCGUGGCGGAGGGAUGAAGUUGGUGUUGAUCCGAGUGUUUGAAUGGUACAGACCAUCUAUAAGAGAAAAUGUCAACUUAGUUGAUGUUUAAAGAGGUAAGGUUAAUAAAAUAAUUUUGUAAGAACAAAAUUAGCAUGUUUUGAACAGACUAGGCUUUCCAUUUCUAACUAAUCUAAUGACCUAGAGUCAGCAUAGCUUUGAAACCACUUUUGUCACACCCGGUUUUGGGGGCAAAACCGAAUGCAUAGCAUAUGUGGGCCAGGAUCCAUUUCCCACACAAAUGUUGACAUCACAAGUGUAAUAUAUCAAAAGACAAUGCAAUAAAGGCAUAAAGAGAGUAGAGUACAUAAUUACAUCAUCUGAAUCAUUGUAUCUUUAACAAGUAUCAAAAUCAAAGUAGGGCGGAAUUAAAUAUGGUCACUAUUUCACAGGAAGGUGACUGGCGCAUCGUUAAACUUAAAACUCAUCAUCGUCAUCAGCGAAGUCUUCAGCAUCACCCUCUGAUAAAAAUAUUAGCAAGGGUGAGCUCACUUAUGGUCGGGGCUUAGCAAGUGGGGGAAAUUAAUGCAAUUUAACAAGGUAGGCUAUGGAUAAGCGGUAAGCAUUUUAGUUGGUCAAUAUUUUAUUAGCAACACCUGUAUUACUAAUAAGUGUGUAUCCCAAGUAUCCCAACUAAUCAAUGAUAUAAGAAUAUAUCAAAAGCACUUAAGUGAAACCACUUAAGCAACCAUUGGUAGAUCAUCAGAUCUUGAUUUAUUGUCCAUCUUUAAGUUCAAUUGUCAUGUGAGGGUCCAGGUUGAUCUUAACCGUGAGCACGACUGACAUAUCAGUUUUACACUCUUCAGAGGUGGUACAACUUUACCCACAAGCCAUGUAUCCCAUCUAGCCUGGGUUGAUCGGACCCGUAAGCACUGCCGAGGUGAAUGGCUAGGGAUCCAUUAUGAGGCUUCCACAAAAUAUCCUUAGUACAAAGCCACCCGCUAAGGUUUCCACGUCAGUAUUGAUGGCCCUCUGGGUGAGGUAACUUAGCCAAGACUACCACCCCAUGUUAACACAAGCUGCCACCAAGCCACUGCCGCUCCCUCUUGCCCAUCUUUCAGGUAGGGUUGCUAAGCACUAAGUCUAUAGAGCUAAUUACCAAAGCCAGAGCCAUGAUAGCACUCGUGGUUGCACUGUUAUCUUGGAUGGUCACUCCAUGUUCCAUUUAACACAAAAUGUUCUUGUUUAACCAUCGGGUUAACAUCAUAAUAAAACUUCAUUUCCAGAACAUAGUAUCAUUAAAAGAAUGACAUCAUAUUCAUCAUGUUGAGCAAUAGCAAAAAUUGCUAAGCAAAGCAUUUAUCCCAAGGUAAUUAAAGGAAUAGGGUUGGUAAUUCUAUAAAAUCCUUAUUUAGGCAAAUCCCAUCAAAUUAUGCAAUAUACCCAAAAAGUAAAAAAUAUUAUAUGCAUUAAUUGGGUACAAAUAGAAUAUGCAGAGGGAGAAUCCACUUGCCUUGCUCGAAAGUGUCCUGUGGGUCGUCCUCGAACGAGUUUGGUUCAUCUGCCUCACAGUCAACUUCUAGCAUCAAUUUGCGUAUCGUACAUAUAAAAAGAAUACGUACGCCAAAUAAAUAAACACACACCAUUACAGGGGUAAUCAUUCACCAUUACAUUCACAUUCAUACAUCACACAUUUAUACUCAUAAAUACAUCUUUAAGCGUAAAUACUUGUUAAUCCAUUAUGACUACUAGUGUGAGUUAUUCUUGGUGAAAAUAUGAGUAAGUGACUAUGACACUAGUUUUAUCUAGUAAAAUAUAGAUAAACAUAUAUUAACAAUUUUUAUGGAAAAUAAUUGGUAAUCAUUUUCUGUAUUACUAAUAAUAGACUUUUUAGUUUUAUCCCUUCUAUUUCUAAAUAGAAAUUAUACAUAUAGCUACAAAUCAUUUAUUUAUAAUUCUUCUAACAAUAAUAUUCUAAGAAUUAAUGUAAAUUACUAAUUGGACUUUUAAUAACAUAAUCAUGGUUAUUAUGACAUCAACAAAUAUUUUACUAAUUCUAAGUAAUUAAGUGCUAUACUUAUGAAUACAUUUAUCAUGACUAGCAAAAUUUAUAUUUUCCAUCUGAUCGAGAAUAUGUGGGCUAGUAUUUCUUCUACUUUCUUUUAUCAAUAAAAUUAUACUUAAAACACUACUAACAAUUAUCGUUCAUGUGCUCAAGCGAGAUCAAUCGUAAUCGUCUCUAGUAUAAAAAUCCCCAAGUUCGUGACUGGUGACGUAAUUUAUUUUUGAAAUAUAAAUUCAUACACCUGUCAAAAUAUUGUUGCAAGGCUUGUUUACGAUUACACGUAUACGUUGGAGUCUCUUCUCGGUAAUUUCUAAACUGAAAAUCUCAGAAUUAAUUUAAUUUACAAAACUAGGGACUAAAAUGUAAAAUGUGCUUCUUCUACCUUGAGCUAGAUCUCACGAGUGGAGAUGGAGAUCGACGGGGGAGGGAGUUCGGCCGGGCAGGGGAGCAGGGGCUCGGUCGUGGGGCGCAGAUGGGGGAACGGGCACGGACGACGAGGUUCGACGGUGAAGCUCCAGCGAGGCAUGGGCGGCGGGGCGGACGGUCCGGCGGACGGGCGAGUGCGGGUGAAUUCGAGAGCGAGGAGAGCGAGAGAGAGAGAGAAAGCUCGGGGAGGAAGAGAGGAAGGGAGUCCGACCACUUUUAUAGAGCGAGAGGGGACAGAAGAGGGCGAGCCGGGGAGAGAAACAGUCGGCCUUCAACGCCAUCAAUGGCGGCGGCCAUUAAUGGCGCCAUUAGGGAGAGAAUGUGGGGGAGGGAGAGGGUCGGGCGACGGUUUCCGGCUCGGCGUGGAGCGGACGUCGAGGGUGCGGGGCGCGUGGGCGCGACGCGGUGGCGGCGGCGCAGGAGGGAGAAGGGAGGGAGAAGAGAGAGGGGGCCGCGGUGGGGCCCACCUGUAAGAGAGAGGGAGGGGAGGAGGGUUAGGGCGCGCGGCCGGUUGGGCCCUGGUGGGCCGAAAUGGCCGGUCGGCUAGGGUUUCUUUCUUUAUUUUUUUCUUUUCUUUUCUAUUUAAAAAUAUAAAUAAAUAUAUUUAAAAAUCAUAAUAAUUAUACCAAAAUUAUUUAUAACUAAAAUAUUUAUUUUUGGACCAAUAUUUCUAUAUUAAUUAAUUGGAUUUUCAAUAUAGAAGAAAUUCUAUUCAACGUCCAAAAAUCAAAUAUGAGCAAACAAAAUUAUUCUAAAUGUAAAUAAAAAUCAAACACUUGAAUGAAAAUUCAUUGCCAUAUUUACCAUUAAUAAACUAAAUGCAUUAUUUUUAGUUGAUGGUUUUUCUAGUGUUACACAUGGUCAACCUGGUCGUCAUGCUCAACACUGAGAUGGACCACGCCCUUGACGAGUUUGGCAAGGCUUGGAAGGAGAUUGUGGAACUGCAUGCUGAUCGUGCGGAGCGCCGCCAUCAGGAGGAUGGUUCCCCCUGUUGGGACUCAACACUCUUACCGUUCGCCGCCCCUUGGUCAUCAUGCUUAUGGCACCCUAACUACAGGACCAAGAUAGACUUGGAGUUCUAGAUCGAUAGAGUCGGAGUUUGUAAUAAAUGUUUAAAUCAGUGUCUUAGUCUUAGUCUUAGUCUUAGUCAGUCUUAGUUAGUUUUAGUUUGCUUAUCAUGUGUUUCCAUGUUUGUCAUGAUGAACUUAUGAUGAAAUUGGAUCUUUGUAAUGAUUGACACCAAGGGGUGGGCAUCCCCUUCAACUUGGUGUAGUUAUUAAUAAAGUUAGUUAUUUAGUUGGGCAACCCUUUAUUUCCACUUUCCUCUUAAUCUAAGAAGCUAUGUUUUGCUGUGUUGAGAGUCAGUGAAGAUGCUCAUUUGUUCAGUGUUGCGAAGACUUCUAUAUAUCUUUUCUUAUGCUGGAAUACUGUAGGGUCAGGUCUAAUGUGUGAAUGAUUUCUACAAAUGUCUAACAACAAACAUCGAGAUGGAAGGCGUGCCCAACAAGAGCAGCAGGCACCCCAGGAUGAGGCACCCCAGCAGUAGUUGCCACCACCACCCCCAAUGACAAUGGAGUAAAUGUUUCUGAUGCAAACUCAGGCAGUUCAAGCAAUUGGUUGGACCUUGGCAACCAUGCAACAGGUGUAGCAACAACAACCUCCACCUCAACUUCAAGUGCAGAUGCGCAGAUGUCAAGAGACAAGCGUGCGGAGUUCAUGAGGGGUCAUCCCUCUAUGUCUGCCCAUUCUGUAGACCCCAUGGAUGCCUAAGACUGGUUGCACAUAGUGGAGCGGGAGCUGCAUACCGCUCAGUGCAAUGACCGUGAGAAAAUUUUGUAUGGUCCCCGUCUACUAAGGGGAGUAGCACAAUCCUGGUGCGAGUCCUACCUCGCCACCCAUGCCGACCCUGAAGCCAUUACUUGGGAGGAGUUCAGAAACAACUUCCACCGGUACCAUGUGCCUGAAGGUUUGAUGAUAGUGAGGAAUGAAGAAUUUCUGGCAUUAAAGCAAGGGCCCCUGUCUGUUAGUGAGUACAGGGACAAGUUUUUGCAACUAUCUCGCUACGCACCUGAGUAUGUCAACACUGAUGCCGAGAGGCAAUACAUGUUCUUGAGAGGUUUGGUUAACCCCUUCACUACCAGCUGAUGAACCAUACAUUCCCUACCUUUCAGCAUCUGAUUGAUAGAGCUAUCAUGACUGAAAGGAAGCACCGGGAGAUGGAAGACCAGAAGCGCAAGAUCGGUGGACCGCAGGUGGGAGUAGCAGCCAUCCCCGUUUCUCAGGCAAUCCACCCCAACAGUUUAAGUAGAGUCACCCUCAAGGACAUCAAAACCAGCACCAACAUCAACGUUGGCUUUAGCAGCAGUUCCAUAGGCAGUUUCCUUAGCAGCAGCAGCAGCAGUACCGCCAGCACAACCAAUAGGGAGGAAACCAGUAUCAGUGGUAGAGCAGCCAGGCACCUCGCCUUCCUUCCCUAGCCACCAAUCAGCGCAACUAGAUAGCCCCAUCACAAGGAGGAGGUCGUGGAUGUUUCCACUAUGGGGAACAAGGCCACUAGGCGACACAUUGCCUAAGAAAGUGGCUCAGCAACAGCUAGCUUCCAACACCCUAGCAAGACAAGGAGCACCACGACAAGCAUCAGGAGGUGUGGCCAGGCCUACAACCGUGGAAAGGUGAACCAUUUGGAGGCUAAAGCGAUCUAGGAUGCACUAGAUGUGGUAGUAGGUAUGAUUCCAGUUGAAUCCCAUCUAGCAAAAGUACUAUUUGAUACUGGUGUCACACAUUCUUUUGUUUCUACAUCAUAGGUAGAAGCACAUAACAUCCUCAUAGAACCAAUGAUUCCACCUCUAAGAGUUAAUUCAGUUGGGGGAAAAGUUCAGUCCAAUAAGAUGUGCUCGAAUCUAAGGAUUGAAAUAAGGGGAUAGAUUUCCCCGCUAACCUAGUGGUCAUGAGUACUCAAGGGUUAGAUGUCGUCCUAGGGAUGAAUUGGCUGCACAGAAACUAAGCAACUGUCAGUUGUGACAAGAGGAUAGUAAAGUUAGUGUCCCCAUUCGGGAAAGAAGCAGUAACUAAACUGUUCAUGCCUGAUUUAGAAGGAGCCUGUCACUAUAUGUCUGUAGAUGGUAAGGAGGCCAACUUGCUUGAGGCUAUCAGAGUUGUGUCAAAGGUCCCUGAUGUGUUUCCUGAGAAUUUACCAAGCAUGCCACCCGAGCGUAAAGUUGAGUUUGCCAUAGAGCUUGAACCUAGAACUGCCCCUAUUUCCAAGAGAGCCUAUAGAGUGUCUAGACCAGAAUUGGUGGAACUCAAGAAGCAAAUCGAUGAGUAGUUAUAGAAAGGCUACAUUCAACCAAGUACUUCGCCUUGGGCCACACUAGUUCUGUUUGUGGAUAAGAAAGAUGGGAUCAAGAGGAUGUGCAUUGACUACAGAGCUUUAAAUGAAGUCACCAUCAAGAACAUGUACCCUCUGCCAAGAAUAGAAGAUAUAUUUGAUCAGUUGAGAGAAGCCGGAGUGUUCUCAAAGAUAGAUCUGAGGUCAGGUUACCAUCAGCUCAGGAUCCAACCUUCGGAUGUACCGAAGACAUCAUUUAUCACCAAGUAUGGGCUAUAUGAGUACACAGUCAUGUCAUUUGGAUUGACAAAUGCACCAACUUUCUUUAUGUACUUGAUGAAUAGUGUGUUCAUGGACUGCCUCGACAAGUUUGUAUUGGUGUUCAUCGAUGAUAUUCUCGUAUACUCUCAGAAUGAGGAAGAACACUAGGAGCAUUUGAAUGGCCAGAGUGUUCUCAAAGAUAGAUCUGAGGACAGGAAGGCACCAAGAGAUGUCUGAGGAAUCAAGAGUUUCAUUGGAAUGGCCAAAUACUAUCAACAUUUCAUUGAAGGUUUCUCCAAGAUUGCUAGACCAAUGACAACCCUGCUAGCAAAGAAAGUUGAGUUUAAGUGGACCCCAGAAUGUCAAGAGUCCUUUGAAACAUUGAAGAAGAAGUUGACUACAUCACCUGUGUUGAUCCUACCAGAUGUUCAUAAGCCAUUCUCGGUGUAUUGUGAUGCUUCGUACACUGGUCUGGGAUGUGUGCUAAUGCAAGAAGGAAGAGUAGUGGCGUACUCGUCCCGACAACUGAAGAUUCAUGAGAGAAAUUACCCCACACAUGGCUUGGAGUUGGCAGCAGUGGUUCAUGCACUGAAGACCUGGAGGCAUUAUCUAUAUGGGCAGAAGUGUGAUGUUUACACAGACCACAAGAGUCUUAAGUGCAUAUUCACCCAGUCUGAAUUGAACAUGAGGUAGCGAAGAUGGCUGGAGUUAAUGAAAGACUAUGAGCUAGAGAUACACUAUCACCCAAGCAAAGCUAAUGUGAUUGCAGAUGUUUUGAGCAGAAAAAAUCAAGUCAACAUGAUGGUCGCUCAUACGAUGCCAUAUGAACUAGCAAAGGAAUUCGUCAGGCCGAGUCUCGGAUUUCUAAACAACACCCAAGGAGUGACAAUUGAGCUGGAACCCACUCUAGAGCGAGAAAUCAAGGAUGUGCAGAAAGAUGAUGUGAAGAUCAAUGAAAUUUGGCAGCUGGUCUUAGAUGGGAAAGGCAAGGAUUUCCAGGAAGAUGUGGAAGGUGUGGUAUGGUUCAAAGAUAGGUUGUAUGUUCCCCACAUAAAAUUGAUUCGAGAGCUGAUUUUCAAGAAGCUCAUGAGACAGCGUAUUCCAUACACCCUGGCAGCAAGAAGAUGUACCAAGACAUGAAGAAAAGAUUCUGGUGGUAUUGUAUAAAAAGGGAGAUCACAGAGUAUGUUGCCAUAUGUGACAGUUGUCAGAGAAUUAAGGCAGAGCAUCAGAGGCCCACAGUUUGUUGGAGCUGUUGCAGACUCCUUAGUGGAAAUGGGAUGAGAUUGGGAUGGACUUUAUAGUCAGUUUGCCUCGCAUUCGAGCCGGUUAUGAUUCCAUCUAGGUAGUAGUGGACCACAUGAAAAAACCGGCUCAUUUCGUACCAGUCAAGACUACCUAUAGUAGUGCAGUGUUGGCAGAGUUAUAGAUGUCCCAGAUUGUAUGCUUGCAUGGAGUACCAAAGAAGAUAGUAUCGAACCGAGGAACCGAGUUUACUUCUCAUUUUUUGCGGUAGUUGCAUGAAACUUUGGGCACGCACUUGAAGUUCAGUUCAGCUUACCACCCGCAAACAGAUGAUCAGUCUGAGAACCAACCAGAUCCUUGAAGACAUGCUGAGGGAUUGUGCAUUGCAAGACAAGUCAGGUUGGGACAGAAGGCUACCUUAUGCAGAAUUCUCCUACAAUAACACCUAUGAGGCUAGUCUGAAGAUGUCACUGUUCCAAGCACUCUAUGGGAGGAAUUGUCAAACUUCAUUGCAUUAGGACCAACCCGGCAAAAGGCAGGUGUUCGGUCUAGACAUUUUGCUUGAAGCCGAAGAUAAUAUCGGAAUGGUUUGAGAGAAUCUGAAGAUAGCGCAGUCCAGGUAGCGAAGUUAUGCUGACACAAGGAGAAGAGAGCUGAGUUUUGAAGUGGGAGAUUAUGUUUAUCAGAAGGUGUCACCCAUUAGAGGAAUCAAAAGGUUCGGAGUCAAGGGCAAGCUAGCACCUCGAUACAUCGGACCCUACAAGAUUUAGGCAAGACAUGGAGAAGUGGCAUACCAACUUAGCCUACCAGAAAGUCUGUCAGCAGUGCAUGAUGUGUUCUAUGUGGGUCAGCUGAAGAAAUGUUUGCGAGUACCAGAAGAGCAAUUGCCUACCGAGGAUCUCGAAGUUUAAGAAGACUUAACAUAUAUUGAGAAGCCAACUCAAAUUCUAGAGACAGCAAAUAGAGUCACUCGAAGGAGCACCAUCGAGAUGUGCAAAGUCAAGUGGGGUCAUCAUUCAGAGGAAGAAGCAACUUAGCAAAGAGAAGAUGAUCUAAAAGCUAAAUAUCUCGAGCUCUUUGCUAGCCAACCCUGAAUCUCGAGGGCAAGAUUCUUUUUAAGGGGGAUAGGUUUGUAACACCCUGGAUUUGGGGGUAUAAAAUUUCUUCUCUAAUUUGUACCAAAUUCAGGUGUUACAUCUUGUUUCUCUCUCUCUAGUUUUCUUCUCUCUUCCUUUUUAUUAGAAUUAUGUCUACUAGGUGGGAGAUUAAGUUUUUCUUUACUAUAUCAAAACCUAUGGGAGUCAUGGGAUGUUGCAUCAUGCUGAGCCUAAAUUAUUAUUUUGUUUGAUGCACAUGUCUGAAUUAUUUGAAUUUGGAGCAUGUUUGAUAUUGAAUUCAAAGGAGAAAAAUAAAAGGAAAAAGGAUUAGAAAUUUAGGAAUAAAUGAAAAAGGGAAAAGAGCCCAGCCGCCCUCCCUACUCGGCCUUUCGGCCUAGCUAGCCGUGUCUCGCUCGCUCCCUUGCCUUCUCUCUCUCUGCUCGGUGGGACCACCCCGUCAGCAUCGUUGCACGCUCACGUGCACCCACUCUCACUGGCUCACAGGCCCUGCCCGUCAGACCCGUCCCCUCCCCUGCAACCACCACGCCCAUGGCGUGCGCUCAUGCCCCCACGACCCACCCACGUCGCCUAAGCGCCGAGGUGAAGACCCCGUGCCCCCCUUAGCUCGCCCCUGCCUCUCAUUCACUCUCUCCCAGCCCUCACACUCACUCAGCCCACAGCGCCGCCCCCUCUGUUGGUCCGUCGUUCCGCCAUCCUCGCUGGGCCUCUACCAUCGUCUCGGCCACGGUGAGCUUCGCCGGAGCCUUGUGCACCGGGAAUCCACAGUGGUUUCCCUCUCAUUGAUCCCUCUGCCAGGUCCGCACUCAACCUCUCCCCUACACAAGUCGGAGUUCGCCGCCGCCACGAUUUCUCCUUGUCCGGCCAACCGGAGUCCCCUCGCGCCGUGCCAAGCCACUCCGAGCGUCGUCUCUAGGUAAGUGACCUUCCCCUAACCUUAUUCUGCACCGAUUCCAUCUCACCAUGGGUAAUUUUGGCUCGCCGGAGUGGCCUCUGGUCAGCCGAGGCCCCCUCCGCCUGUCUCAGCCCCGUUCCAGUGACCCUGACUUCGCCAUAGUGUUCGUCAAGUCCACCCCAACCUCUCUAUCUACCUAGACUACCCCAGCGCCCCUAGAAACCCCGGUCUGCCUCGCCUACGGUGGCUGCACCACCGCGACCAUGAACAACGCCGCCCUCGGCCGACCGGAGCUGAGAACCCACUUGGCGCCCGAUCCUGACCGUUCAUCCUUGAUCCAUUGGCCCAGGUGCUCGGAUAACGGUUCGCUCGGUUCGUUGGACCAGGAACGUUGAUCCGAGAUCCAGUGGCUAGAGCGCCUCGCGCCCCGUGCAUCUCGCCUCGCCCCACCUGUCAGGCAUCCGCGCCGAGCCCUCGCCCGAGCUGCCGACCUUGUUUGCGCCUCGCCCGAGCCCACUGACCCACUGGCCCCGCACGUAAGUGUCUUGCCCCACCAUGAGAACUGCUUGUCAGCGCUCGCGUCCGCCCGCUAGAUCUAAUCCUGGUCGUUGAUCUAAGAUCUAACGGCUGGCAGAAGCCGACACCCCUUUGGUUUGCAGCUUUAUAAAAAGAACCCUCGACUUCUGAUAAAUAGAACCCACAGUCCCUAGAGUUUGCAGCCGAGCCCCUGGGAUCUUGCAGAAAGAACCCCAGACUUUAUUUUAAUUACAGAAAUAGGUCUAAUUUUGUAUUUUGAAUUCCAAAACUUAUUUAUUUCAUAUAUUUUGCAUAUGAACUCCAAAUUGGGUGGUUCAAAUUGCAAAAUUUUCAUAAAAUUAUUCUCUGUGUGGUUAAAUUAUCAUCUUUCACUAUCUUCAUGUAUUAAUUUCAUGUGUAGGCUAUAGGUGCAUUUAAAGUAAUGGUUCAUUAUUUAAAAGGAAAUAAAAAGUAAAACACUAAUGAUAAUUAAGUGAUUAACUUUGUGAAGUUAAUAUCAUGUAAUGUAUGAACCCAUCCCUGGUAUAAUUUUAAUAAUCCAUUAAGAUGACUAUAGUAAGUUAUGUAAUCCACUGAGAUAAGUAGUACUUAGAGAACCACAAACCCCUAAGUGUAUUUGUAUAUCCUUGGAUCUAGAUUCCAAGCUAGUGUCUGUACUUUUUAUUGGAUUUGUGUUCACUUGAUUGCAUAUGUUUGGUGUAUUGUUCCUUUUAUCAUUUCCCAAAUGUGUUGAAUGCAUGAUUGCUUUGCGUAGACAAUGAGAAGUCCGUGGUUCCUGAGUAUGUUGCUGGAGACCUCCCUGAGCAGCAACCUGGUGAAGGCAAGUGUCCUCUUACCCAUUAUGUCCUACUUACUUUAUAAUUCACUGUCCCGCAUUACUUAAUUGAAAUAUAAGGACUGACUAGCUUUGUAUUUACUUUGUCCUUGAUUACCUUUUGGGUUAUUAUCGUUAGCUUCAUGUUAUUGCUUUACUUUAAUCAACGAACAUGUUAUGAUACGAUGAUGAUGAUCUGUGAUACUUUAGGGGACUUAGGUUGUUUCCUGAGUACCUCUCUGUAAGGACCUUUUCAUUGAGAGACCACCUGGGAUAACAUUACAACCAUGAGGGUGGAAUGGGACGCCCUUAGCUGAAUAAUUAGAGGAACUUGAGGUGUAGUCGGCUUUGUCGUAGGACCGUCAAUGGAGUCCGGGCACAGUAUUUGCUCUACCGAGGGUCGUUGCCGAGGUUCUUUCAAUUUGGUUUUGUUAGUCAUCCUUCCUAUGGGGAGAAGUACUGUGUUUAUCAAACUGGAGAAACCUAGCGGGCGACUAUGACCUCUGGGGAAUAUUUGUAAAGGCUACAUAGUGAAACCUUGCCUGCUCACCUUGGUAGUGUUUGAGGGUUUGAUCGACCCGAGGCAAAAGGAAUCACGACUCGUGGGUAAAGUGUGCAACCUCUAUAGAGUGUUAGAAACUAGUAUAAUAGUCAUGCUUAUGGUUAAGAGCAGCCUUGAGAUCCUCUUUGAUUAGAAUAAUUCUGGAUACUUUUAUGAUGAUAAUUAAUGGUGAUGAUUACAACAAUGGUCUCUGGUAUUUCCUCUUGGAGGGAGUACUUUUGAAUAAUAACUGGGUUUAUUACUAAAACUUGGCUUACUUCUAGUAAUAAAUACCUGACCAACUAAAAGCAACUACUUUAACCUUAACCCCACGUAAAGCUACUCCACUUUAGCCAAACUGGACAUUUGCUAAGUACGUUGAUGCGUACUCACCCUUGAUUAAAAAACCCCCAACCCUAGGUGCUCCCCAUUGCAAUCAGUGCUCAAGAGGAGAUGAAGGCAACAUGGAGGACUUUCCGGAGUUUCAGGUCUUUGAUGAGUUCUAUUUGUGUUUUGUGGCAAACCCCCAGUCAGCUGCCUGUGAAGGCCUUAUCUUCUACGUUUUGUAUCCGCACUUUGAUUAUGUUGAUGACUAUGUUAAGUUAAUGACUCUCUGGAUGUCUUGGACAUUUUGAUGUAAUAAAGUACUAUUUCCGCUAUUUAUUUUGAGCAAUGUGUGAUGAUGUCCAACUAUGUAAUCGUUGUGUACAUGAGUUUUUGAUCCUGCCAUAUACAUGGUUCGCAUUCGGUUUGCCUUUCAAAACCGGGUGUGAAAUCUUCUUAGCCAUUAGUGGGUUGUCUGCAUCCUUGACUGUCGGCCCCAAGCAUUAUACUGGGAGGGUGGUCAUUCCCUCCUAGAAGAAGUUUUUUUUUAAAUAGUUUCCUCAUUUUUUGGUGGAGGCCAUUGCUUUAUGAAAAAUCUACAGCUUUUAGCCUUCGGUAUUGCCAAAAAUAGUUGUUCAUGCCCGUUUUCUGGCAAAAAAAGGUAGUAUAACCAUGGAUCUUUGGUGAUUGGCUUAUAUUACGAUAUUACUUACCCCAUUCAUAUUUUAAUGCUAGAAAUCAGUUUCUUGGAUUUUUGGUGGAUAUCAUUUCUUAAUAAAAAAUACAUAGGAAUUAGCCUUUGUGAAAGGGAAAUGUACCCUUGGGCCAUUUCUAAGUGUUUUGGUGAUUAAGUGCCUAACGCCUCACUUUGAACUAACAUGCUACUGUGAGUAUGAGCUCAGAGUCAAAGAGAAGGAAAUUGAGAGUCUUGGAAGAAAGUUGAACAUCCUAUACUAUUGGAGAAAUUUAGGUAUGAUUGUAGCACUUAGUAAAUUGUUUUGGUACUAACUAUGUUCUACUAAGUGCCAGGGAACUUCUCAAAACUAGAUAAAUUCAAUUGGAGAAGUUUGGCUAAGGGUAGUCAAACUUGGACCAGCCUACGGUGCACCGGACUGUCCGGUGUGCAUCAUACAAUGUCCGGUGCUCAGGCUACAUACCCGGCGAAUAGCCGCUCUUGGGAAAAAGCCAGGGCGCCGCGACUAUAAUUCAUCAAACUAUCCGGUGUGUACAGGACUAUCCGGUGUGUCAACCGCAUGCCUAGCCAAUGGUGUGCCAUGGGACCAGAGGGUGGCAAUGGUCAGAUUUGCCAAAUAAGGAAGGGUAUCGUGCACUGUUUACUGUCCGGUGGUGCACCGGACUGUCCGGUGCGCCCACGGACAUAAGGCAAUCAUAGCCUGCCUAAUGGAGGUCCAAUGGCUCCUAGGUCCCUUGGGGCUAUAAAAGGGACCCUUAGGCGCAUGGAGCACUACACCAAGCAUCCUUUGAACAUCACAAGACACCGAGACACUGCGAUCGCGCUAGAGCUUUGAUAGUUUGAGAUUUGAGCAAGAGUUGGAGUUGUAAUUCCGUGUGUUGUUUCUUGUGCUGCUCUCUCAACUUGUGAGCAUGUGUUGCUGUGAUUUUUGUCUCUUGUGUGUGUUUCUACUCCCCCUUACUCUUGUGUUCAUUUGAGAUCAAAUUGUUUAAGGUGUGAGAGACUCCAAAUUGUGGAGAUUCCUCACAAUGGGAAAAAGUUGAGAAGAAAGAGAACCAUGGUACUCAAGUUGAUUAGUGGAUCGCUUGAGAGGGGUUGAGUGCAACCCUCGUCCAUUGGGACACCACAAUGUGGAUUAGGCAAGUAUUUUACGCUUGACCGAACCAUGGGAUAAAAUCAUCGUGUCACAUGUCUUUAUACCUUAUUCUACUCUUUCUUAUAGUUCACGUCACUUCAUAAUUGCUCUAAGUUUAAUACUCACCUUGUGAGAGCAAUUAUGUGAAGAAAUUCACUCCUCUCAUUCUCUUCAUUCAAACUUGGCUCUUGCUUUCACUAAUCCAAAAUUUGUCCAAGUUUGUGAGAGCACCUAGAGGGGGGUGAAUAGGUGAUCCUAUAAAAAUCAACUCUAAACAACACAAACUUGGUUUAUAAUUGUUAGUGAAAUGAAAACCAAGUUGCUGUGAAUAGAGAAAGAGAGAACUCUUCACUUGAUUGUUCCUUUAUGAUAUGUAUUGAACUUAGGAACAAUAGCGUAAGUGAAUAUGUGAGAACUCUAUGGAAGAAAACAAUCACAGAGAAAGAUGCGCAAGUGACAGGGUGAUUUUAUCCCGUGGUUCAGCCAAUGCCUACUCCACAUUGUGGUGACCUCUUCGGUCAAGGAUUGUACUCAAUCCCUCUCAAGUGAUCCGAUGAUCAAACUUGAGUACCACAGUUUUCUUCCUUUUCACAAGUGUUCCCUUUGUGAGGAAUCCCCACAAGUUGGAGCCUCUCACCCUUACAAGAUUGAUCACAAGAACCACAAGAGUAAUGGAGGGAAUACAAACUCACACAAGAACUAGAGUCACAACAACAACACGAACACAAGUCAAGAACUGAGCACUCAAAACAACGCAACGGAGUCAAAGCUCAAAGAAGUGCUCAAAUCUCAAACACAAUGAACCGAAUGCGUGCUUGUGGAGUCUAGGCGUCUUAGGAUGUUUAAUGGAGGCUUGGUGUAGUGCUCCAUGCGCCUAGGGGUCCCUUUAUAGCCCCAAGGCAGCUAGGAGCCGUUAGAGUUCCAUUUGGAAGGCUUUGGUUGCCUUCUGUCCGUGGGCGCACCGGACAGUCCGAUGCACCACCGGACAGUGAACAGUGCAUGAUCUCCUUCCUUUUCUGGCGAAGCCAACCGUUGCCACCCACGGUCCAUGUGGCACAACGCUGAUCGUGUGGUCACCAUUGGCCGGGUGUGAGGCUGGCACACCGGACAGUCUGGUGCACACUGGACAGUCUAGUGAAUUAUAGCCACGGCACACUCAGCACUUUCCCGAUUGUGGCCUAUUCGCCAGGGCACCAGCCUAGGCACCAGACACUGUCCGGUGCACCGUAGGCUGGUGCAAGUUUGGUUGGACUCAGCCAAACUUCUUUAAUCCGAUUUCUCUCGAUUUGACAAGAUUCCUAGCACUUAGUAGAAUAAUGUUAGUACCAAAAACAAUAUGUGUUGAGCAUCUAAUCACUAACACAUUUAUAGAAAUGGCACAAAGGCACAUUUCCCUUUCAAUCUCCCCAUUUUUGGUGAUUUAUGCCAACACAUCAAAAGCAACUCAAAAUGCAACAACAUUUUCAAAGAUGAGCUAAAGAGUGCAAAUUGAAGACCAAUUAAUCUCACAUAGAAUUUGUUAUAUUUGGAUCUCUUUUUUGCUGUUUAUUUUCACAAAACAAAUUCGUUUUACUAUCUCUAUGUCAAAGACACUUUUUUGGCAAAUCAAAAGAUCUUUCAAGAAUAGUUUUGAUCAAAUACCAAAAACUCCCCCCUUUUCCCAUAAUAGAAAUUCUCCCCCACAAGAGAACUAUUUUUGCAAUAAGAGGGUUUUGAUCAAACACCAAGAUUUCUAACACUAAAGUUUUGAAAUUCACAAGUGGUUGGUUGAUCUAGUUGAUUUGGUCUAAUCUGAUCCAGUUGCUUUGGCCUUAAUUUCUCCCCCUUUGGCAUUAAGCACUAAAAUUGAAGAACUAUUUGGCCCCUUUAACCCCAUUGUCUCACAAAAAUUCCAAAUAAGAUCAAAGGCAAUAAGAAAACACAGAUAAGAACUUGGGACAAGAUACAUUGAUACAGGGAUGCAGUGGAAGCCCCUUCUUUGUUCAAGUUCACAUUUUCCCUUUCAAUGCCAUCUUUGAGACUAGAUUAUUAUUACUCAAGGAAACACAUUAGUCUCAAAGGAUCAAGUUGUAGUACAUCCUCCCCCUAAACAUGUGCAUCAUGUGCAUAAGGACUUGUGAGGUCCAGGGAUAACUUGUACAACUUGAGCACCAAAAAAUAAGCAUGUAAAGACAGUAAUGCUUAAAGUAACAUGAUCAAAGGCAUGAAACACAUGUCUGCUAUAGAUCAAUCCAAGUUCUGCGAAUCUAAGACAUUUAGCUCACUACGUAACCUACAAAACUUUUUCUUGUCUAAAGGCUUGGUGAAGAUAUCGGCUAGCUGGUUCUCGGUGCUAAUAUGAUAAUUAUCGAAUCUUCCCUUUGCUGGUGGUCUCUCAUAAAGUGAUGCCGGAUGUCUAUGUGCUUAGUGCGGCUGUGUUCAAUAGAAUUGUCCGCCAAGCGGAUUGCACCCUCAUUAUCACACAGGAGUGGGACUUACUCAGAUUGUAUCUAAAGUCCCGGAGGGUUUUCCUCAUCCAAAGUAGUUGCGCGCAACACUAUCCUACGACAACAUACUCGACCUCAACGGUGGAUAGGGCAACAAAUGUUUGUUUCUUAGAGCUCCAGGACACCGAGGACCUUCCUAGAAACUGACAAGUCCUGAAUGUGCUCUUUCUAUCAACCUUGCACCCGGCAUAGUCGGAAUCUGAAUACCCGAUUAAGUCAAAGGUAGACCCCUUUGGAUACCAGAUCCCGAAGCAAGGUGUAGAAACUAAAUAUCUAAGAAUCUGCUUCACGGCCACAAGAUGACAUUCCUUGGGGUCAGAUUGAAAUCUAGCACACAUGCAUAUGGUAAGCAUAAUAUCCGGUCUACUAGCACAAAUAUAAAGUAAAGAACCUGUUGGUCCUUGUUCUCGAAUGCUAUACAUCAAGAACAAAACAACACAAUUGUUAACGAUUAAGGACCUUCGUCCUUCGAAGCAUUAUCUCCCCUAGGAUAUAAUGAUCUUCAGACGAAGGUCAAGAAGGGCAUACCUUCAUCAUUUCAGUGAACGAAAUAUAAAUAGAGACAUAUGAAAUACAAAGGAAUAUAAACAAUCAUUACAAAUCAUUAGAUUAUUUACAUUAUCGUUUUAUAAACAUGGAUAAACAUCAAUUAUAUUUAUAUUACAUUUAUACCUUCGGUUUAACAGAAGAAGGAAAAGCGAGAGUGAAGCGAGAGUGAUUACAAUUCAGCGUGAAUAGUACGAGGGUACUAUUCAUCUAUUUAUAAGCACGGGACGCAGCCCGGACAAAAUUACAUCCGUGUCCCUAAUAAUUAAUUAUAAUCAUAAUACAAAUUAUCAGGGGCUAUACAGUCUUUUCCUCUUUAAGUCGGUAUCGUCCUUCGUCUUUAGCAUGUCACCAUGCCGAAGCUCCUUCAAUCGUAGCUUCGGCUUAUAUCUUCAUGUCACACCUGCUUAUGUAUUGUCCUGCUGAAGGUGUUUUUUCUUAGAGGACCUUCGGCGGAGAAGAAUGCCCCCAACAGUAGCCCCUUCACGGUGCUAGAUCGUUUUUUUCUUAACAAGCUCGAUCCGCGAAAAACACGAAGGCUUCGGAAUGCCGAAGGUUCGAAAAACACCUUCCCUGAGCUCGUUGCCGAGAAACGAUUAUAAUAUUCCAGGCGCCGGAUGGUCCACCGUUCAGCGAGUGCGAGCGGUCUGGUGGUUCACCUUCCCCCCUGUAGCACUAUAUAAACAGAUGGGUUGGUGAGGAGUUACCACAACAUUCAUUGCCAUUGCACUGUCGUGCUGUUAAAAAAUUUAACCAUAGCCAAAGCUUUCUGUAUUGCGCUUUCGAGCGAAUGCUUCAUCAUUGGAGAUUAGCUUCGUCAAAAAGUGAAUACAUUUGAAAUGGCCAGAGUGCGAUCAACUGCUAGAGUGUCUCGUGAGGGAGGCGAGGCCGAAGUAACUGAGACGACACCAAUAACAAAGGUGAUGAGGCAAUCAGGUCUUGUUGUGACAGAAAAGCCUGUUGCCGAAGGUACUUUGACUGCUGAAGCUGAGCAAAUCACAGUUGGAGAGGGAAGUAGUAACGAAGAUGAAGAUGAUUAUACCAUCCUGAGCCCAGAAAACCUAGCCACCUUGAAUUUGGCAGAUCCACUGUGACGGCAGAUGAUAUGGUUAUAAUGAAAAAAUUGGGCUACUUUGGUGAAACUAAGAGUAAACUUGUUCGUUUUGCUGGCGAGGAAGCGGUUCCAGAGCUGAAGGACGAUGAAGUUGUUGUGUUUAAAAGCUUCUUCAGAGCGGGGCUUCGGUUCCCUGUUUAUGAUAUAAUAGGAGAGGUUUUGAAAAACUUUGAAAUAUACCUUCAUCAAUUGACACCUAAUGCAAUUGUUAGACUUAGCAUUUACAUCUGGGCCUCUGAAGCCAGAGGAUGAGUCCUAAUGUCGAAGCUUUCUGCCGGGUGCACGAGCUACAUUAACAGACAAAGGCCAGGGCAAAUGGCCUUCAUGAGAAUUUUGGUUGCUACAAUUUUGCGUAUCGAAAGGAUAUGAAGGCACCGGUUCUUAGCUACCGUACCAAGUGGCCAACUGGUUGGAAGAGUGAAUGGUUUUAUAUGAAAGCAGACGAGAAAAAGAGAGAAGCUAAUGACCAUGGUUAAGAGUCCACUGAAUUUGAGCUUCAGAAUGACAAGGCCCUUGUGCCAUAUGCAGCUUGGCUCCCCAUGCCAACUGGCCGAAGUGGAGUUUAGAGUGGUAGUGGCUGAAGUCAGCACUAGAGAUCUAGUGCAAGAGUUCUUGGCAAAUAGAGUAUUUCCGACCUCUAGUGGCUGGGGAAUGCCCAAGAAAAAGGAUGGGAGCAAAAAACACGAACUUGUUCGGCUCCCAUACUGGUUCAAGUUUGAGAAAGAGUUCAAGAAACCAUGCCAAGUGUGGCUGGAAAUGAUUGAAACUAUGCAAUGAAAUCCUUGGCAACUACACCAAGAAGGAGGACCAACUAAUGACUGCUGCCUUCAGCACCUGGCCAAAAUGAAGGCUAAAUCAUGUGAUGGACGCGCUAAAUUUUGAAUAUCCAGACUAUGAAAGAUUUGAUAAGGGAAAAGAUUUGAAGAGGAAAAGGAUUGUUAGUAUUUUAAAGAGACAGGCUGAUAGACUGGUAAAAGAGGAUGAGAAGAUUUCGAAGAAGGCAAAAACUGCUCGUGAGCCGAAGGCAGCAGUCUCCAAAAAGAGGAAGCCUGAAGUAGUUGAGCCGAAGGUAGCUGAGGCGAGAGAAGAAGUUCCUUCAACGCCCCCUGCUGCUGAAAUAGCAGAAAUUCUAAAGGUAAUGACUGAAUCGUUGCCCAUCAAGCUGCUAAGUUCUUUGGGGGCCAGAACUGACGAAACUUUUACAGAAGAAGGAUCAACCUUCGAUCAUAAAGGAGAAGACUGAAGGUUAGAAGAGACGAAGAAUUGUCAAUGUUAUCCAAGCUAUUGAGCGGACACCACCUCUAGCCUCGGUGUCCAGAAUGGUGCCUGUUGCAAAUGCCAAGGUUGAGGAUGCUGCCGAAGCUGAAACUGUUGCCGAAGCUGCAGCUACUGCCAAAGCUGCUAAUCUUGUGAGCACAAUGUCAGGAAUUGACAAGCUGAUAUCAGAUAUGGUCACAGAGGAGGCAGUUGCGACCGCAGAGGAAAACGUGGCCGCGGUGCCUGGCAAGGGAAAAGAAGUUGUUGAUACUUCGUCAAAAGAAAAAGACUUUGACCUUCGGCACCUGGGAGGUCAAGAAUUGUCUGAGAUGGAGAAAGAGGAGCUAGAAGAAUAUGGAAAAUCUUGUGGCUACCAGCCGGGAUCCAUGCUCUUCGGUGGAGUUGAUGAGGAAAUCAUGGGAUGUAUCCACGACCGAGCUGGGGCAAAAAUAAUCGGCACUCUAUCAAAGAGUGUUGGUUUCCCGAAGCUAGAGUCUGAUAUUAGUGGGUACCGAUGACAACAUAUCGUCAGCAGCCUAUUUUAUUCCAAUUUCAAGGUAAAAUCUUUUUGCCUAGAUUCUUGUUUUCUUUGUGAUGGAUUAAAAUAUUAUAAAGUCAACUUUAUUUUCGCAGAGUAUGCUGCUAAGCAAAGCAUUAAGAAUGCAACAAGACCUCGAAGAUAAGAAAAAUGAGAUAGUAAUUGAAGGCUUGGAAAGCAAGAUCAAAGAUUGCAAAGCUUCUCUUGAAAAGAAUGACUUCUUGCUUCAAGCAACCAAAGGUUCCCUUGUGGAAUUUCAAGCUGAAAAUACUAGAUUAAACGAGGAGCUUCUCAAAGCUCAAACAAUCUUAAAGGAAAAAUCAGAGUGCUUUGAACAAGAGAAAAAGGAACUGCAAGCGAAAUAUAAAGUCGAAGCUGAUAAAAACACGAAGCUGCCGGAAUCACUGAGGGACCUUCGGAACAAAUGAUCGGAGUUUGCUACUCGCUGCAUGCAACGGUUAAAAGGAGUCUUCAGCUCGGUUGGGCCAGCUCUGAAGAAAUUGCCCCUUUGGCUGAAGAUAUAUCAGAUACCUUCAAGCAUAUUGAAAAUGAAGUUGAUGCACUCGACAAAGUAAUAACUGGGCAUGGUGAUUUCUGUGCUCUGUUAGCUUCUCGUGGCACGACUGCUGCAUUCUUGAAGGCCGGAUGCACGCAUGCUAAAACAGUAAACAAGCCAAACAUCAGCCUAUCACCAUCAGACUUGAUUAAUAUUCCUGGUGAGGCCCGAAGUAUCGGAAAUAGAUUUAUUACUCAAAUUUGGGCUAAAGGCAGGCGAGAGUUGGCUGGAGACGAGGCUCAGAAUCUGCUUAAAUCAGUACAAAAUUUAUACCUGUGUUUUCCUUGAUUUUUCUUCAUUACCAUUGCUUUUAACUUAUACCGUUGUUUGUCUGCAGGAUGGCGGCGCCGAAGGUUAGUAAUCCGAAGCGCAUUCCGAAGGUUGCUGGGCUGAGGCUUCCCUUUAUGACUUCCUGCAUAGAGCUUAGGAUCUAUUUGCGUUAUUUUUUCAAAAAAUUGUAAUCGAGAGUUGAACUCAAUACUGUAUAUAUUGAUCCAUACCUUGUAAUAUAAUUUUACCUUUCAGUCCACGUGCGAAUUGCUUUGUUGUGGACGAAACCCAUGUGUAACUUUUGAGCCAAAGGCGAAAAACACCUUCCCUUCUUUUCAUACACAUCGAAGCAUUUCCUUGCAUAAAACGCCUAUGUUCAUGUUUGAAACGAAGCUUCUUCGUAUUCAUCGAAGCACUUUGUUGCCGAAGCCGGACAAUUUCUGCUCAUAUUAUCGUUCGUGCUUCAUGUCAUGAUAAUGAUGAUCCUACGAAUGUCUAAUGAAUGUCUGUAUGAAUGCAAAGAAUGAUGCAAUGUAAUAUGCAAAUGUAUGAACCAAACACACACGAAGCCAUACCUAGACACUGCAUCCCCUUAGGAACGACUUUGGAGUCUCUUCACCUUUUAUUUCGGUGGUAUUUAAGCUCUGCAUUCCCUUAGGAACGACUUUGGAGCUUCUUCACCUUCUAUUUCGGUGGCAUUUAAGCUCUGCAUCCCCUUAGGAAUGACUUUGGAGCUUCUUCACCUUCUAUUUCGGUGGUAUUUGGCUCUGCAUUCCCUUAGGAACGACUUUUGAGCUUCGGGACUUACUCUGCUCCCCCUUAGGAACGACUUUUGUAGCUUCGGAACUUACUCUGCGCUCCCUUAGGAAUGACUUUUGUAGCUUCGUCACUCUCGGAGUGAUUAUAGCUCUGCAUCCCUUAGGGACGUCUUUUGAGCUUUUCCCUGUUCUUUUUGCACUCGAUGGUGUGGAUUUUGAUAUUACAUGUUACAUUUCUGGGGAAUUUUGGCCUUUGUAUUGCUUAGGGCUAGACAAAAAUGAAAAUUACAAACUAUGGCCCCAUUAAAAACCUUUCUCCCCUCCUGAAAGGAAAAGGGUGUCAUAGGAAAAAUAAAAAGAUUACAUCAAUUACACAAAAUAGCGUCGAAGCUCAUUCGCAUUCAAAGAUUUGGGUAUGUCGUUGCCGUCCACAUCCUUCAAUUUGUAAGAACCGGGUCUUGACGAAGAUACUACCAGAAAAGGACCUUCCCAUUUAAGUUGUAGCUUCCCCACUAUAUCGGGGUUGGUUAUCCUCUGAAGCACCAAAUGGCCUGGCUUGAUAUUUUUCAAUCGAACUUUCCUAUCACACCAUUUUAUUGUUUUGGCCUGAUACUUAUUGAUGUGCUCUAUGGCCUGAAGUUUGGUCCCUUCUAAUGUGUCUUUUGUUAUUUGAGAAUCAGUUUUGUCCUCCGCUGAAGCUGCGGUUCUUAUUGAUCCUGUUCUUGGUUCUUCUGGUGUUAUUGCUUCGUCACCGAAUAGGAGCUUGAAGGGAGUAAAACCUGUUGACCUUGAGACAGCAGUGUUGUGGCUCCACACCACUUUGAUCAACUCAUCUGGCCACUUUCCUCUAGGCUAAUUGAAGAUUAACUUCAUUAUUCCUGUCAUUAUAAUUCCAUUUGCUCUCUCUACUAACCCAUUUGACUCUGGAUGCCUUACUGAAGCAAAAUGUAUUCUUGUACCGAUUUGGUCACAAAAAACUUUGGACGUUUCAGCAUCGAAUUGAGUUCCAUUGUCGACUGUAAUAGCCUUUGGUACACCGAAAUGACAUACAAUAUUUUACCAGAAGCACUUCUGGACUGUGGCUGAAGUUAUGGUAGCUAGAGGUUUAGCUUCGAUCCACUUCGAGAAAUAUUCCACCGCUACCAUAACAUAUUUUAAAUUUCCUUGUGCGGGUGGAAGCGGUCCUAACAAAUCUAGGCCCCAUCUUUGUAAUGGCCAAGUAGGUUGGAUCAAUUGUGUUGAAGACGAAGGUUGUUUCUCGUCUCUGGCACACUUCUGAUAAUUUUCACAUUUCUGGACCAAGUCCAUUGCAUCCGAAGCUGCCUUCGACCAAUAAAAACCUUGUCUAAAGGCCUUUCCCAGUUGAGGCCUGGAUCCGAUGUGGGCUCCACAUAGUCCUACAUGUAUUCCUUCAUUAAUUCCUGUCCUUCAUUCCUGGAAAGGCAUUUAAGCAAUGGGGAACAAACUCCAUACUUGUAUAACUCCCCCUCAAUUAUUACAUACGGUUUUGUUCUUGCCUCCAUUCUAUUAUUGUAAGCUUCAUCGUCUGAGAGGCGGUUGCCUUGGAGAAGGAUAUUAUUUCGGUCCUCCAGUCUUCACUAUGUACAGGUGAGAUUCUGAGCACUGCUCUCUCCAUGAGCUCGACUGAGGGUGCUUUUAUUGUUUCAAAAAAUACUUCCGAAGGCAAAGGAAGCCCCUGUGCCGCUGAUUUAGCUAGCAAAUCUGCAUGCUCAUUUUCUCCCCUUGGGAUAUUUUUUUACAGAAAAUCCCUCAAAAGAAGCUUCCAAUCUUCGGACUGCAUCCAAAUACUUCUCAAGCUUUGGGUCUCUUGCCUUGCUACUCUUAUCCACGUGGCCAGAAAUAAUUUGUGAAUCAGUUUUGACGAUUGCCCUUCUUAUUCCCAUUGCCUUUAAUUUCCAAAGCCCUAAAAGAAGAGCUUCAUACUCGGCAAUGUUAUUUGUACAACUGAAGUCUAACUUUAUUGCAUAACAUGUUCUGACUUUAGAGGGUGCCACUAGAACAGCAGCUGCUCCUGCACCGAAGGUUCCCCAAGAUCCAUCACAGAAUACCGUCCAAGCUUUGGCAUCUUUUGUUGUUCUUCACCCUGAGCCCCUGGUGUCUAAUCAGCAAUGAUGUCUGCUAACGCCUGGGACUGAAUUGAGGAUCUAUGUACAUGAUCAAUGAUGAAUUCAUUAAGUUCUGUGGCCCAUUUUCCGAUCCUUCCUAUAGCUUCUCUGUUCCUCAUUAUGUCUUUUAGGGGUUGUGAUGAAGGUACUAUUAUAUGAUAUGCUUGAAAGUAGUGCCGAAGCUUCCUGGAGGCCAUCAAUACGGCAUAUAGUACCUUCUCCAAUUCUGUGUAAUUUUUCUUUGAUAGGCUGAGUACUUCAGAGACGAAGUAUUCCGGUGCUUGUAUUUUUACUUGGCCAUCUUGCUUCUCAUAUACGAGUGUCGCAGUAACCACAACAUGGGAAGCAGCCACAUACAGAAGUAGUGGAGUUCCUGAUGAAGGUGGAGUUAGAGUUGUCAAAUCUAUCAGAUAUUGUUUUAACUCUUCGAAGGCUUUAUAUUGAGCCGGACCCCACUGAAAGACUUCGGCUGACUUCAGUAUUUCAAAGAAUGGUAAAUUCCUCUCUGCUGAUCUUGAUAUAAAUCUAUUCAACGAUGCCAGCCUUCAUGCCAACCGUUGAGCCCCCUUCUUUGAAUUUGGUGCUGCAUCCGAAGGAUAGCUUCGAUUGUGCUUGGAUUAGCUUCGAUGCCCUUUGUUGAUACCAGGCAACCAAGAAACUUGCCCUUCUUCACUCCGAAAACACAUUUUUCUGGGUUCAACUUGAGACCAGCUUGUCUGAAAUUGGCAAACGUCUCUUGCAAAUCAGCAACAUGAUCUUCUUGUUUUGUGCUUUUCACUAUGAUGUCAUCGACAUAAGUCAGCACAUUUCUGCCUAUUUGAGAGUGAAGAACCUUGGCAGUCAUUCUGCUGAAGCUUCCUCCAGCAUUUUUGAGCCCCUCAGGCAUCCGAAGGUAGCAAUAGGUAGCAUCUAAUAGGCUCAUAAGUUAUGAAGCUUGUCUUUGGCUCAUCCUCUUUCUUCAUCCAAAUAUGGUGAUAGCCCGAGUAGCAGUCUAAUAGGCUCAUAAGUUCUGAAGAAGCUGCUGCAUCUACAAGGGAAUCUAUUCUUGGUAAAGGGAACUCAUCCUUCGGACAUGCCUUGUUGAGGUCUGUGAAAUCAAUGCACAUUAUUGAAAGGGAAAUGUGCCCUUGGGCCAUUUCUAAGUAUUUUGGUGAUUUAGUGUCCAACACAAGUGCUUAAAUGAUAAAUUAUGCCAAAUGGUGGAUAAGGUGCAAAUCAAUACAAAGGUAUGAUUCUAGACUUAGUACAUUGGUUUUUGUGUACUAACAUGUUUGUCUAAGUGCUAGAAUCAGAGAAAAUACAAUUGAAAAAGCUUGGAUCGAAGCAGCCAAGAGUCUGCUCAGUCUGGGUGCACUGGACUGUCCGGUGGUGCACCGGACAGUGUCCGGUGCGUCAGGCUGGCGUCUGUCAACUGGCUGCUCUCGGGACUUCGACGGCGGCGUACGACUAUAAAUCACUGGACUGUCCGGUGAGCCAACAGUCGGCCCGGCCAACGGUCGGCCGCGUAAUCCGCUCGCGACGCGUGGCAGAGCCAAUGGUCAGAAGGGGGCACCGGACUGUCCAGUGUGCACCGGACACUGUCCGGUGCGCCAACGGCUCCAAAGCGCCAACGGUCGGCUUCGCCAAAGAAGGAAAGAAAUCCGCACCGGACAGUGUCCGGUGGUGCACCGGACUGUCCGGUGCGCCAGGCGACAGAAGGCAAGAAUUGCCUUCUUGAAAUGCUCUCAACGGCUCCUAGCUGCCUUAGGGCUAUAAAAGGGACCCCUAGGCGCAUGGAGGAGUACACCAAGCAUCCUUUGAGCAUUGUUGAUCACUCACACUUCAUUCUUGCGCACUUGUUCGACAUUCUUAGUGAUUUGAGCUCCGUUCUAGUGAGAACCUUGAGAUAUUGUGUUGAGCUCAAGUCUUGAUAUUGUGUGUGCGUAUUUGCUGUGGUUUUGAGUGUGUCGCUUUCCUCCCUUACUCUAGUGCUUCAUUUUGAUUCUUAUUGUAAGGGCGAGAGACUCCAAGUUGUGGAGAUUCCUCGCAAACGGGAAAGAGUAAAGUAAAGAAGAUCACUGUGGUAUUUAAGUUGAUCAUUGGAUCACUUGAGAGGAGUUGAGUGCAACUCUCGUCCGUUGGGACGCCACAACAUGGAGUAGGCAAGUUUUGUACUUGGCCGAACCACGGGAUAAAUCCUCAUGUCUCUUGUGCUUGUCUUUACUGUGUCUGUUGUGUUUCACAAGAGAACUCCUCUCUAACCACUUGGCCUUAUUGUGCUAACUCCUAAUCAAGUUUUGUUGGAUUAAGUUUCAUGUUUUUACAGGAUCACCUAUUCACCCCCCUCUAGGUGCUCUCAAUUGGUAUUGGAGCCGUUCUCUUCAAGAAAGGGACUAAUCGCCCGAAGAGAUGGAUCCUAAGGGCAAGGGGAUGGUGGUCAAUGAUAAGGAGAAGGAGUCCUUUGUCAAUGAUCCAAAGGAUGACAAGCCUACUGACUCGGGCGCGAGUCACAAAAGAAAAGACAGGAGGAAGAAGAAAACGAGGCGCAUCAAGGAGAUCGUCUACUACGACGACAGCGACGAGUCCUCUUCUUCCCAAAAGGAUAACGACGACAACGACUGCGAGAAAAAGAAGACGGUUAACUCUAAUUUUUCUUUCGAUUACUCUCGUAUUCCUUAAAGUACCAAUGCCCAUUUACUCUCCAUUCCACUUGGCAAACCUCCUCACUUUGAUGGAGAGGACUACGGAUUUUGGAGUCACAAAAUGCGUAGUCACUUGUUCUCUCUCCAUCCAAGCAUAUGGGAGAUAGUAGAAAGUGGAAUGAAAUUUGAUAGUACUGAUAGUCCCAUGUUCAUCAAUGAACAAAUUCAUAAAAAUGCACAAGCUACUACUGUGUUGUUAGCCUCAUUGUGCAGGGAUGAAUACCAUAAGGUGAGCGGCUUGGAUAACGCCAAGCAGAUUUGGGACACCCUCAAGAUCUCUCAUGAGGGAAAUGACGUCAUCAUGCUCACCAAGAUGGAGUUGGUGGAGGGCGAACUUGGGAGAUUCGCAAUGAUCAGGGGCGAGGAGCCAACCCAAACGUACAAUCGGCUAAAGACCCUCGUCAACAAAAUAAGGAGAUAUGGAAGCACGCGAUGGACGGACCACGACGUCGUCCGCCUAAUGCUAAGGUCCUUUACUGUUCUUGAUCCACAUCUUGUGAACAAUAUUCGUGAGAAUCCUAGGUACACCAAGAUGACGCCCGAGGAGAUACUUGGAAAGUUCGUAAGCGGGCGGAUGAUGAUCAAGGAGGCUAGAUACGUUGAUGAUGCAUUGAAUGGCCCAAUCCAAGAGCCUCAAACUAUUGCUCUCAAGGCAACAAGGAGCAAGGAGGCGCUACCUAGCAAGGUGGCGCAAGUUGAGGCGGCCGGACUUAAUGAUGAAGAAAUGGCCCUCAUCAUCAAGCGUUUCAAGACGGCGCUAAGGGGUCGCAAGGAGCAUCCCAACAAGACCAAGACGAAGGGGAAGCACUCAUGCUUCAAAUGUGGUAAGAUUGGUCAUUUUAUCGCUAAUUGUCCCAAUAAUAAUAGUGACCAGGAACAAGGGAACAAGAGGGAAAAGAAGAAGUCUUACAAGAAGGCUAAGGGCGAGGCACACCUUGGAAAGGAGUGGGACUUGGAUUGUUCGUCGUCUGACUCCGACAACGAAGGACUCACCGCCACCGCCUUCAACAAGUCGGCCCUCUUCCCCAACGAGCAUCACACCUGCCUCAUGGCAAGGGAAAAGAAGGUAAGCACUCAUAAUGCUAGUACUUACGCUUCCUCAAGUGAUGAAGAAUCUAGCGAUGAUGAAAUAGACUACUCAUGUUUAUUCAAGGGCCUAGAUAGAACUAAGGUUGAUAAAAUUAAUGAAUUAAUUGAUGCUUUAAAUGAUAAGAAUAGGUUAUUAGAAAAGCAAGAGGAUCUCUUGUAUGAAGAACAUGAUAAGUUUGUAGAAGCACAAAAAUCCCUUGCUUUAGAAAUUAAAAGAAAUGAAAUGCUUUCUUGUGAAUUGUCUACAUGCCAUGACUCUAUCUCUAGCUUAAAGAGCAUAAAUGAUGAUUUGAGUGCUAAGUUAGAAAUAGCUAAUAAAUCAACAUCUUGUGUAGAACAUGUUGUAGUUUGCAAUAGGUGUAAAGACUUUGAUGUUGAUGCUUGUAGUGAACACCUAGUUUCAAUUUCUCAAUUGAAUGAUGAAGUGGCUAGUCUUAAUGCCCAACUUAAGACUAGCAAGAGUGAAUUUGACAAACUUAAAUUUGCAAGGGAUGCCUACAUGAUUGGUAGACACCCCUCAAUUAAGGAUGGUCUUGGCUUCAAGAGGGAAGUCAAGAGCUUAACAAGUCAUAAGGUUUCCAUCUCCGCCAAGGAGAAACGGAAGGCCCCUAUGGCUAGUAGUGCUCAAAAGAACCAUGCUUUCAUGUAUCAUGAUAGGAUACAUUCUAGGAAUGUUUAUAGAAGUUAUGAUGCUUUUGAUUCUCAUGCCAUGAUUGCUUCUAGUUCUUCUAUUAUGCAUGAUAGAAAUUUGGCUAGGAAAAAUGUUGUUCAUCAUAUGCCUAGAAGAAAUAUUGUUCAUGUUCCUAGGAAAGUAAUGGAUGAACAUUCUACAAUUUAUUAUGCUUGCAAUGCUUCCUUUGCUAUUUGUAGAAAGAAUAAGAAGGUAAUUGCUAGGAAAUUAGGGGCCAAAUGUAAGGGAGACAAGACUUGCAUUUGGGUCCCUAAGACUAUUUUAACUAACCUUGUAGGACCCAACAUGAGUUCGGUACCUAAGACCCAAGCCUAAAUUUGCCUUGCAGGUUUAUGCAUCCGAGGGCUCAAGCUGGAUUAUCGACAGCGGAUGCACAAACCACAUGACGGGGGAAAAGAGGAUGUUCUCUUCCUACGUCAAGAACAAGGAUCCCCAAGAUUCAAUCAUAUUCGGUGAUGGGAACCAAGACAAGGUGAAAGGGUUAGGAAAAAUUGCUAUUUCAUCCAAGCACUCUAUUUCAAAAGUGUUCUUAGUUGAGUCGCUUGGAUAUAACUUGUUGUCUGUUAGUCAACUUUGUAAUAUGGGAUAUAAUUGUUUAUUCACAAAUGUAGAUGUGUCUGCCUUUAGAAGAAGUGAUGGUUCACUAGCUUUUAAGGGUGUACUAGACGGCAAACUAUAUUUAGUUGAUUUUGCAAAAGAGGAGGUCGGUCUAGAUGCAUGCUUAAUUGCUAAGACUAGCAUGGGCUGGCUGUGGCAUCGCCGUUUAGCACAUGUGGGGAUGAAGAACCUUCACAAGCUUCUAAAGGGAGAACAUGGGAUAGGACUAACUAAUGUAACUUUCGAAAAAGAUAGACCUUGUGCAGCUUGUCAAGCAGGAAAACAAGUGGGAAGCUCUCAUCAUGCCAAAAAUGUGAUGACAACAUCAAGACCCCUAGAGUUACUUCAUAUAGACCUCUUCGGACCCGUCGCCUAUCUAAGCAUAGGAGGAAGUAAGUAUGGUCUUGUUAUAGUUGAUGAUUUUUCCCUGUAACACCCCGGGGUCCACAAACACCCUGGAAUGCUACUAAACAACACUUCUGACAUCUAUAUAUAAAAUUUCGGCAGCAUCCCCUUUGCAAAAUUGCAUAAAUGAGGGGGCAACAGUGUAUAAACAUACAUCAUGACAAAAAUAUACUAAGUAUUAUUAAUCGGCUAGCAAAGAGAAGUUAAACAUACGACAUGAACUGAAUUAACUAGUGCGCACGACUAGUUAAAAAAACUUCCUUUGACAAUAAAUUUCUAAUUAAAUCAUGGCUGCGCCUGGGCAGCGCUAUUGUGAGAGUGAAAGUGGACGUGCUGCUACUCCCCUCAUUCCCAACAUGUAUCAAGUACCUGCAUUGAGUAAUGCAAGAGUGAGAUGACACAUCUCAGCAAGUAAAAUAAUAUCAAACUGUUUAACCACAUAAGAACAUUGUUUUACCACCACUUGAUUCCACAACCUUCUUAUUACAAAGGUGCAGCACGUAUACAACGUACAACACACCUAGUCACCACACCUCAUAGGUAGAAACCACAAUAGUAACAUAGUAAUGUCACACUUCAUAUAUACCUCAUGAGUGCAAAUGUCUGCAAAUGCAAGGAUGACUUCUAUCUUCAUACCUCUAAGGAUAUGAAGUCGCAUCGUACCCCUCCUCGGGCAACGUACGAUGCUAAAAAUGUACCGGUAUGGUCGGACCAUAAGAUCACGACAUAACUUCAAAAUGCAAGAUGGAUGAUGCGAUGUGCAUGUCAUGCCUACAACACUUCAUAUAACGUGAUUCAAAAAGACACUUCAACUUCAUCAAGAUGGGAAUCAACCACAUAUAUCAUUACCAAAUUAUGAUCAUCCACAAUAUUAGACAAUUGAGAAUUAAUACUUCCAAACAAAUAACUUCAUCAUAGAAUUCAAUGAUUAACAUAAUUAAAACUUAUGCAUACUCAAUGACAGGGAAUAGGAUGCAAACCAAACGGUAGCAACCACCACUGUAUUUACUUGCCUUUACCGGAAGUUUGGGCAAAAACCUAAGUACGAUCCGGAAGUCCACCACCUAUUUUUGACACACAACUUAGUGCACCAAUUUCACAUAAUCAGGCUCAUAAGCGACGCCGCACCUACGCACAAACUCAAACCCCGCCGCGGGUUACAUCUCUCCCCACACCCACCAAACUGCAGCGGCGCUGCCUAAUAAUUUCAUAACUUUAAAUUUAUUACAGCAGUGGUAACAAACAAAAACUCCAGAGGCAUCUACAUAAAAUUCCCUACAAGUUUUGUAUACAAUUUAUAAUUAAAUUCCAACAUCUAAUUAGCCCAAAACAGUCCACAAGAUGAACCCUGUAAUCUGUUUUUUUUUGUCUUUUGGACAGCGACAUACCCGGAUUCAAACAGCGAUAUCUUUUAAAAUAUAAUUCCAAAUCAAGCGCAUAAGUACCCAUUGGAAAGAUAAGACAAAGCCCUACAUGAUUAUUAUACUGGUUAACACUAAUUACCCACGAAAAAUUCCCAGAAACUGCUAAUACUACUUCUGUUCACCCACCUGAAAAAUCUGUUUUUUUGGACAGCAACAUACCGGAUUCAAACAACGAUAUCUCCUAAAUUAUAACUCCGAAUCGAGCGCAUAAGUACUCGUUGGAAAGGUAUGACAAAGCUCUACAUGAUUCUCCCACUGAUCCCUACUAAUUGCCCACGAAAAAUUCCCAGAAAUCCCUAGAACUACUGUUGUUCGUCCACCCACUAAAUUUCUGGACAGCACCUCUACCAAAUCGCAUAGAUAAACAUGUAACCAAUUGGAUUGCAGCACAAAUACAACAAAAUGAUCAUGAAAAUCACCUUGGGUUCCUCCUUUCCUCCUUCUUUUCUUCCUUCUUCCUCCCUCCAAACUCCCAUGGAAGACUCGCACCCACACGACGGACACCAAGCGGGGAGGCUCCACCUUGGAGAGGAAGAGGUGGGGGGGGGCGGCUAGGGUUUAGGGGUGGCGCUGCAAUCACUUGGGGAAGAAGGAGAGAGAUUGGGGCGGCUGCAAGAGUGGAAGAGAGGAAGAGAGAGGGGGGCGGCCAAAGGGGUGGGGGAGUGAGAGGGAGGGGGCGGCUAGGGUUAAGGGGGGAAACUAAUGGGCUCCCCACCACCGGAUCGAGAUCCACGGCCCAAACUCGCUCUCACGUCUGCUCCCGACCCCAGCGCACAAAUCCAACAAGUAUUCUACUGUUUUACUGGUGAAUGCUUCCUAAAAAACUCCAACCCCAAGGGAAAAAUAAAUUUAACUUCUUUUCGGAAAAUUGGGUAUCACACUCUACCCCCCUGAAAAAGAAUUCGACCUCGAAUUCCGACGCUUCUAUCGGAACGACAAGGAAAGAUCAAUGAAUCAACAAAACUCACACAUAAAGAAAGGUUCGGGUACUUCUGCCGCAUCAGCUCCUCAAGCACCUAGGAUUCUAAGAUACGCAGCAGACGACACUCAAGAGUCUGGUCUUGCUACACAGGAAUCGGCUCUAGCUCGAUUUGAUGGUCUGGAUUCCGCAAAUACUUUCUCAACAUAAAGACAUGGAAUACAUGGUGUACUCUGAUCAUAGACUCCGACAAUUGUAGGUGCUAAGCCAAGCUGCCAACUCGGGCUAAGAUAGUAGACGGUCCUAUAUAACUCGGACAAAGCUUUCCUAACACCAAAUCAACAUUGACACAUGCAAGUACUUCAAUGAAUAUAUAUAUAUGAAUGCAAUACAUACUGUGCUCAAAUAGCCUAAACCAAACCUAUCCAAACAAGAGUAACUUCAAAAGAUCAAUUUAAUGCUUGCAUAUUUCUAGACAGCAACACAACGAUUAUUUGUUUUCCUCAUAACUCACAAAAUAUGCAUCCAAUAGAAGUAAACUAGGACUUUAUGGAAAGCUUACAAAGUCCACUAUACCCUUGGUAUUAUCAUCACCACAAGAUUUGACACUUAGAAAGGCCAAACAAUGCGAAACGUAAUUUUUGUCCAGACUUGGACAGAAUUCAACUACUCACUUCAAAAAUCCAUAAUUGGAGUCUCAGUCAUCCAAUUCAGGCGCUCAUAGACUUUUUAGAAAGCCAGUAAAAUUGUCUAUAUUUCAUUUAUAAACCUAUCAGGUUAAUUCAAUGCAUAUCAAGAUCAAAAGACAUAAGAAAGGCUUUGCUGUCCAAAUUUGGACAGAUUCAAAGAUUCCAAUUAAAACAGUUGUAGCUUAACUUAUAGGUCACCAAAAAGGGUGAUCCAAAAUUUGUUGGAAGGCUUAAGAAAAGUACUACCACUUCUUUAUAAUUUAUAAGAACUGAUUCGAAGUUUAACUUGGGCAAACAAGGUCAGUUUCGAAAUCUGUACAGAAUCUGGACAAUUUCCAAGACUAGACUUGAGAAAAUCAUAACUCCCAAACUACUGGACCUAUGGUCAUGAAAUUUUACACAAGUAAGAUGAAGAAAUUGGCUACAACUUUUAUAUACAACACCUCUACCGAAAACAUGGUGUAAUUCAUUGAACUAGUGGCAUAACCAAAAUUGGUCAUGUAGCCCCGAACAUCAAGCAAUAGAUUUAUUCAGGUUCUAUACUCUUCUAAGAUUAAGCGUUCAUCGAAGGACUAAUAACUUUAGGUUCUUCAUUACGAGACACUUAGAGCCAACAUAAGGGUAGAAGCAAUAUGCUUACUUUUUAAAUCAUUUUACAUGCAAGCAAGAAUCGAUUUAAGCAUACUACGCCUGCCCAUAUAUCCAUCCAAGCACAUUCUAUACAUUAUAUCAUCCCAUCGAAGAACUCUCUCUUUUUUUUUUAAUUAUACUAUGCAUAUAUAUAUCCAUCCAAUAACUCACACAAUCUGCAUCUCCACCUAGACUUCACACGACGUAACUAUUUUAUACUUACGCAAACACGCCAAGACCAGCAAACAUGGCUUCACAACAAUACGUACUGGCCUAUUCAAAUAUCCCUCGCUAUCUCUCUGUUUCAGCCCACGCUCCGCAUAUACAAUAACAACAUAACUAUCACAACCACUACAUCUAUUCCCUCCCACCAUACAACAUAAUUAACAUGGAUUGCGAAAGAGCUCACCAUAACUAAACCAAACUCCCAAAGAAAUAUCCUUAAAUAGAAAAUUGACUAUCAACAACACAAAUGCUCAUUCUGUCUCUACCUCUUUCACUAUAAAAUCAAUGAUAACAAAGAAAUAUUGUAAAAUCAUCUAAACUUCAUGACCUACAACUUUUGUAUUCAAAGGAUAAACAAAGUUUUAUUUUAUCUCCAUUUUUUUUAAUUUGGCUUGUAAGGCGACAUACAUGAUCUGCCACCAGAACCUGACGAAACAUGACCCAUAAAUUCAAAACCUCAUAACUCUCUACAUCUAACAAAAUUUUACAAAUAUAAACUCAUUGAAAAUAUUAUAACAUUCCCUAAAAAUUUUAUUGUAAUGAGUGUCUCAGAAUUGGUUUCCAAACCGAAAAAACAAUGCAACUGCUUUGUUGCAAAACUGAUAGGUUAGAAACAAUGGACAACUAAAAUUCAAAAUACUAUAACUCCUGCUAUACUCAACUUAAAACUACAACGAACACGCGUUGGAAAAGUUUGGAAAUUGUCCACGACUUUUGCAAUAAAGUUGCACCCAAAUUUAUCUUUAUAGCCCUCAACUCUGUAUGACCUACAGCUAAACUCAGCCUGAGAUACUGCACAUCAGAGAUUCGACUUAUAUCCGGACAACCACCUCUCCCAAUCUAUUUAACAGACAAUUACAAGUAAAUACCCAUUAAAAGGUACUAAGAAAAACUAAAAGUUUUUCUUAAAGAGAAUUCCCAAAUUUGAGCUUUGAAACUAUCAAAACGCGGUCGAUUUAUUAGUGGUUUUUAACGACACCUAAAGUUCAGACACAACGGUGCAACAACUUCAGAGUAGCCUAACUCCAAUUAUAUGGAAUGAAAAUUACAAACCAAUACUCUUUGGGAAGAUCAUGAAAUUACUAAAACUUUCAUAAUCCAACAAAACCCAAAAUUUACCGUAUUCAAUGUCUAUACUUCCGUACAAAAUUAAGGCUGCUAUAGGAAACCCAUAACUCUCAAAUGUUUAGACCAAACUGGGUGAUUGAGCAUCCUAUGCAAAGAUGAAGAAACCUACUACAAAACAUUCUAGAUAAGUGAAGCCUGAUUCAGCCUCCAACUAAUUUAAAAUGACUCCCAAAACAAAACAACACCUUACCCAUAAUAAAAAACAAUAUAAAAUAAAACCCAAGGCAUUGGCAGGUGCGAUCAACACUAGGAUUUUGCACUACCAAAUGGGGAUGCAACUCCCCAAAGCCUUUAAGCAACACUUUACCUAAUAGGUUAGAACACUAAGCACAUCAAUCAACGAAUUCAACAACCUCAUUUGUUAAUGCCACUAAGGUCAAACAUCCAUGUAUCGACAAUGUAUGAAACACCUGACAUACCCGUCUCUAGCACUAUAAAACAUGGUUGUUAUUACACUAGAAUCCAACUAUUAGAGCUCUCCACAACUAUUCUGUUGACGUGAAGCAAAUGGUGCUCAUGUCAUGUAACGUCUUUUCCUCCUCUCAAAAGAGAUAAAAUUUGCAAUACUCAUAAAGCAAUGGAGGGAUAACAACAAGAAAAACUAAUGUACUUCUUGACACAGACUCAUGCAAAAGCUUCAUAAAUAUUACUUUCAAUACUAAAAUAAUAACACGAUACUAUGCUCAACAGGAGUAAUUGGACGUCAAUAAGACAAUCCACAUAACCAAACUACCUUCAUUAACCUCACAUACAACAAAACCUACUAUUACCGCACUUGAACAAUUUGUACCUCGUGAUAUCACAGGAUGCAUUCAAAGUAGUAGACAUACAUGAUCUAUCAGACCAUCAUUCAUAAAAGAAAAAUCUCAAUCCGAUGCAACAACCCCAUCAUUAAAGAGAUAGAUGACUAACAAACAUAAGCAACUCCCAGUUAAGCAUUGACUUCGUUUAAGAUAAAGCGGUCCAAAUAAUGAUUCAAUAAGCAUGCAUAGAGAAACUGCUCAUAAAAAAAAUCAAACUGCCAUACAAUGUUGGCAAAUAAAAAAAUAUAAAACAGGUUGUCAAUAUCGCCCACAUGACUAGCCUGCAACAACUAAAAAUUAUGCAUAGCCUUUAUGGCUAUUGAAACAAGCCAUAGAAGGAAAACAUGCACGACAUAAAAUCCACUUGAAACCACCCUAUUUAUUGUUAAAAAUAAGGUUGCACAUAAUAAGAAAAUCUAUCAGGUAGACAUGGUUGGACUUAUCAAUCUACGUCAUCUCACAAAUUCACUCGAGUUCUACCAGUCUAAAGAUUUCAUAGACAUUACAAUGUUGCCUCUGCUCUAUAGAGACAAACCAAUUUUAUACUAAGAUCAAGUUAGCAAGUAGCCACACUAGCCUAAAAAAAGUGAGGCGCAAAGCAUUGCACCCAUGGAAAUAUUACAUUGAUAAGUUGGGUUGUAACCCAACAGUCAAUCAAACUCAACAACACCAUAAAACUACAUUAUAUAGUGUUUUCACACUACACCAAGUCGGAUUAGACCCACUAUACACAAGCUCAAUAAACAAUCGGUCCUAUAAGUACAAGAACCCAAGAAUCCUUUUGGAAAAAAAACAUCCACAAUCAAGCAUAUAGAAAUAUAUGAUGGUAAUAGCUCAGAGAAUUCAAAACAUUGCAUUCCAAAAAACAUCAUGACGAUAUGUAUAUAAAACAAGUACAUUAGUAUCUUCACUUGCAUAAUAUCUUCAAUAACAACCACAUCAAGAAACCAAUAUUAAAUAGAAGUAACAUAUCAUAUCAAGCAUUACGUCGUUAACGACAUACCCCAUCAAACCAUAAAGGGAUUUGGAGUAAGGAAGUUCUAGUCAUCUAUACAAUAAAAUACUAAUAUGAAAGAUAUACGAACCCAUACCCUUCCUAUAUGUGCAAGUGUGUCAAAUUUAUCUUCAAAUUGCGUAGAAUCUGAAGCCUAUCCUCUGAAACCAACUGUAACACCCCAGGGUCCACAAACACCCUGGAAUGCUACUAAACAACACUUCUGACAUCUAUAUACAAAAUUUCGGCAGCAUCCCCUUUGCAAAAUUGCAUAAAUGAGGGGGCAACAGUGUAUAAACAUACAUCAUGACAAAAAUAUACUAAGUAUUAUUAAUCGGCUAGCAAAGAGAAGUUAAACAUACGACAUGAACUGAAUUAACUAGUGCGCACGACUAGUUAAAAAAACUUCCUUUGACAAUAAAUUUCUAAUUAAAUCAUGGCUGCGCCUGGGCAGCGCUAUUGUGAGAGUGAAAGUGGACGUGCUGCUACUCCCCUCAUUCCCAACAUGUAUCAAGUACCUGCAUUAAGUAAUGCAUGAGUGAGAUGACACAUCUCAGCAAGUAAAAUAAUAUCAAACUGUUUAACCACAUAAGAACAUUGUUUUACCACCACUUGAUUCCACAACCUUCUUAUUACAAAGGUGCAGCACGUAUACAAUGUACAACACACCUAGUCACCACACCUCAUAGGUAGAAACCACAAUAGUAACAUAGUAAUGUCACACUUCAUAUAUACCUCAUGAGUGCAAAUGUCUGCAAAUGCAAGGAUGACUUCUGCCUUCAUACCUCUAAGGAUAUGAAGCCGCAUCGUACCCCUCCUCGGGCAACAUACGAUGCUAAAAAUGUAUCGGUACGGUCGGACCAUAAGAUCACGACAUAACUUCAAAAUGCAAGAUGGAUGAUGCGAUGUGCAUGUCAUGCCUACAACACUUCAUAUAACGUGAUUCAAAAAGAUACUUCAACUUCAUCAAGAUGGGAAUCAACCACAUAUAUCAUUACCAAAUUAUGAUCAUCCACAAUAUUAGACAAUUGAGAAUUAAUACUUCCAAACAAAUAACUUCAUCAUAGAAUUCAAUGAUUAACAUAAUUAAAACUUAUGCAUACUCAAUGACAGGGAAUAGGAUGCAAACCAAACGGUAGCAACCACCACUGUAUUUACUUGCCUUUACCGGAAGUUUGGGCAAAUCCCUAAGUACGAUCCGGAAGUCCACCACCUGUUUUUGACACACAACUUAGUGCACCAAUUUCACAUAAUCAGGCUCAUAAGCGACGCCGCACCUACGCACAAACUCAAACCCCGCCGCGGGUUACAUCUCUCCCCACACCCACCAAACUACAGCGGCGCUGCCUAAUAAUUUCAUAACUUUAAAUUUAUUACAGCAGUGGUAACAAACAAAAACUCCAGAGGCAUCUACAUAAAAUUCCCUACAAGUUUUGUAUACAAUUUAUAAUUAAAUUCCAACAUCUAAUUAGCCCAAAACAGUCCACAAGAUGAACCCUGUAAUCUGUUUUUUUUGUCUUUUGGACAGCGACAUACCCGGAUUCAAACAGCGAUAUCUUUUAAAAUAUAAUUCCAAAUCAAGCGCAUAAGUACUCAUUGGAAAGAUAAGACAAAGCCCUACAUGAUUAUUAUACUGGUUAACACUAAUUACCCACGAAAAAUUCCCAGAAACUGCUAAUACUACUGCUGUUCACCCACCUGAAAAAUCUGUUUUUUUGGACAGCAACAUAACCGGAUUCAAACAACGAUAUCUCCUAAAUUAUAACUCCGAAUCGAGCGCAUAAGUACUCGUUGGAAAGGUAUGACAAAGCUCUACAUGAUUCUCCCACUGAUCCCCACUAAUUGCCCACGAAAAAAAUCCCAGAAAUCCCUAGAACUACUGUUGUUCGUCCACCCACUAAAUUUCUGGACAGCACCUCUACCAAAUCGCAUAGAUAAACAUGUAACCAAUUGGAUUGCAGCACAAAUACAACAAAAUGAUCACGAAAAUCACCUUGGGUUCCUCCUUUCCUCCUUCUUUUCUUCCUUCUUCCUCUCUCCAAACUCCCAUGGAAGACUCGCACCCACACGACGGACACCAAGCGGGGAGGCUCCACCUUGGAGAGGAAGAGGUGGGGGGGGGCUAGGGUUGAGGGGUGGCGCUGCAAUCACUUGGGGAAGAAGGAGAGAGAUUGGGGCGGCUGCAAGAGUGGAAGAGAGGAAGAGAGAGGGGGGGCGGCCAAAGGGGUGGGGGAGUGAGAGGGAGGGGGCGGCUAGGGUUAAGGGGGGGGGGGGGAAACUAAUGGGCUCCCCACCGCCGGAUCGAGAUCCACGGCCCAAACUCGCUCUCACGUCUGCUCCCGACCCCAGCGCACAAAUCCAACAAGUAUUCUACUGUUUUACUGGUGAAUGCUUCCUAAAAAAACUCCAACCCCAAGGGAAAAAUAAAUUUAACUUCUUUUCGGAAAAUUGGGUAUCACAUUCCCGCUUCACUUGGGUAUUCUUUUUGCAGGAUAAAUCUGAAACCCAAGGGACCCUCAAGCGCUUCCUAAGGAGAGCCCAAAACGAGUUUGAGCUCAAAGUGAAGAAGAUAAGGAGCGACAAUGGGUCCGAGUUCAAGAACCUUCAAGUGGAGGAGUACCUUGAGGAGGAAGGAAUCAAGCACGAGUUCUCCGCUCCCUACACACCACAGCAAAAUGGUGUAGUAGAGAGGAAGAAUAGGACACUUAUAGACAUGGCGAGGACAAUGCUUGGAGAGUUCAAGACGCCCGAGCGGUUUUGGUCGGAAGCCGUGAACACGGCUUGCCAUGCCAUCAAUCGGGUCUACCUUCAUCGCCUCCUCAAGAAGACGUCAUACGAGCUACUAACCGGUAACAAACCCAAUGUUUCGUAUUUCCGAGUUUUUGGGAGUAAAUGCUACAUUCUAGUGAAGAAAGGUAGGAAUUCCAAAUUUGCUCCCAAAGCGGUAGAAGGGUUUUUGUUAGGGUAUGACUCAAAUACAAAGGCGUAUAGGGUCUUCAACAAAUCAUCGGGUUUGGUUGAAGUCCCUAGCGACGUCGUAUUUGAUGAGACUAAUGGCUCUCCAAGAGAGCAAGUUGUUGAUCUUGAUGAUGUAGAUGAAGAAGACGUUCCAACGGCCGCAAUACGCACCAUGGCGAUUGGAGACGUGCGGCCACAGGAACAAAAGGAGCAAGAUCAACCUUCUUCCUCAACAAUGGGGCAUCCCCCAACUCAAGACGAUGAACAGGUUCAUCAAGAGGAGGCAUGUGAUCAAGGGGGAGCACUGGAUGUCCAAGAGGAAGAGGAACAAGCACCCCAGGCCCCUCCAACUCAAGUUCGAGCAACGAUUCAAAGGAAUCAUCCCGUCGACCAGAUUUUGGGUGACAUUAGCAAGGGAGUAACUACUCGCUCUAGAUUAGUUAAUUUUUGUGAGCAUUACUCCUUUGUCUCUUCUAUUGAGCCUUUCAGGGUAGAAGAGGCCUUGCUAGAUCCGGACUGGGUGUUGGCCAUGCAGGAAGAGCUCAAUAACUUCAAAAGAAAUGAAGUUUGGACACUGGUGCCUCGUCCCAAGCAAAAUGUUGUGGGAACCAAGUGAGUGUUCUGCAACAAACAAGAUGAGCACGGAGUGGUGACAAGGAACAAGGCUCGACUUGUGGCAGAAGGUUAUGCCCAAGUCGCAGGUUUGGACUUUGAGGAGACUUUUGCUCCUGUGGCUAGGCUAGAGUCCAUUCGUAUUUUGCUAGCAUAUGCCGCUCACCAUUCUUUCAGGUUGUUCCAAAUGGAUGUGAAGAGCGCUUUCCUCAACGGGCCAAUCAAGGAGGAGGUGUACGUGGAGCAACCCCCUGGCUUCGAGGAUGAAUGGUACCCCGACCACGUGUGUAAGCUCUCUAAGGCGCUCUAUGGACUUAAGCAAGCCCCAAGAGCAUGGUAUGAAUGCCUUAGAGAAUUUUUAAUUGCUAAUGCUUUCAAGGUUGGGAAAGCCGAUCCGACUUUAUUCACUAAGACUUGUGAUGAUGAUUUAUUUGUGUGCCAAAUUUAUGUCGAUGACAUAAUAUUUGGUUCUACUAACCAAAAGUCUUGUGAAGAGUUGCGUAGUGAGCUAAAUGUCUUAGAUUCGCGGAACUUGGAUUGAUCUAUAGCAUACAUGUGUUUAUGCCUUGAUCAUGUUCCUUAAUGCAUUUUCUUGUUUAUUUAUGGUGCUCAAGUUGUACAAGUACUCCCCGGACCUCACAAGUCCGUUUGCAAGUGAUGCACAUAUUUAGGGGGAGAUGUGCUACAACUUGACCCUUUGAGACUAACUGUGUGCUUGAGUUUGCUCAAUUUAGUCACAAAGGAGGUUUGAAAGGGAAAAGGUGGACUUGGACCAUGCAAGACUUCCACUGCACUCCGAUGAAAGAGUAAAUGAUUCCAAGUUCAUCUUUGUACUCUUAUUGCCUUUGUACUCUUAUUUGAAGAUUUUGGUGAGGCAAUGGGGUUUAAGGGCCAAGAUUGAUCCUGUUUUGGUGCUUGAUGCCAAAGGGGGAGAAAAUAAGGCCAAAGCAACAAAUGGAUCAGCUACCACUUGAGAAUUUUGAAAAUAGUAGAAUAGAGCUUUUGGUUAGUCAAAAAUCUCUUAUUGUCUCUUUUGUCAAAAGUUGGCCUCUUGUGGGGAGAAUGGUUAAUUAUGGGAAAAAGGGGGAGUUUUUGAAAUCUUUGAUCAAUUUCUCUUGGAACAACUCACUUUAUGUCUCAACAAGUGUGUUUGACUUAGAGAUAGGAAAUUGAGGUCGAUUUGCAAAAACAAACCAAGUGGUGGCAAAGAAUGAUCCAAAUAUGCCAAAUUUGAUUCAAAGCAAAUUUGUGUUCUCAUUUGAAUUGAUGUUGCACUUCUUUUAGUUGCUUUUAUGUUGUGUUGGCAUAAAUCACCAAAAAGGGGACAUUCAAAGGGAAAUGUGCCCUUGGGCCAUUUCUAAGUAUUUUGGCGAUUUAGUGUCCAACACAAGUGCUUAAAUGAUAAAUUAUGCCAAAUGGUGGAUAAGGUGCAAAUCAAUACAAAGGUAUGAUUCUAGACUUAGUACAUUGGUUUUUGUGUACUAACAUGUUUGUCUAAGUGCUAGAAUCAGAGAAAAUACAAUUGAAAAAGCUUGGAUCGAAGCAGCCAAGAGUCAGCUCAGACUGGGUGCGCCGGACUGUACGGUGGUGCACCGGACAGUGUCCGGUGCGCCAGGCUGGCGUCUGUCAACUGGCUGCUCUCGGGACUUCGACGGCGGCGUACGGCUAUAAAUCACCGGACUGUCCGGUGGUGCACCGAACUGUCCGGUGAGCCAACAGUCGGCUCGGCCAACGGUCGGCCGCGUAAUCCGCUCGCGACGCGUGGCAGAGCCAACGGUCAGAAGGGGGCACCGGAAUGUCCGGUGUGCACCGGACAGUGUCCGGUGCGCCAAUGGCUCCAAAGCGCCAACGGUCGGCUUCGCCAUAGAAGGAAAGAAAUCCGCACCGGACAGUGUCUGGUGGUUCACCGGACUGUCUGGUGCGCCAGGCGACAGAAGGCAAGAAUUGCCUUCUUGAAAUGCUCUCAACGGCUCCUAGCUGCCUUGGGGCUAUAAAAGGGACCCCUAGGCGCAUGGAGGAGUACACCAAGCAUCCUUUGAGCAUUGUUGAUCACUCACACUUCAUUCUUGCGCACUUGUUCGACAUUCUUAGUGAUUUGAGCUCCGUUCCAGUGAGAACCUUGAGAUAUUGUGUUGAGCUCAAGUCUUGAUAUUGUGUGUGCAUAUUUGUUGUGGUUUUGAGUGUGUCGCUUUCCUCCCUUACUCUAGAGCUUCAUUUUGAUUCUUAUUGUAAGGGCGAGAGACUCUAAGUUGUGGAGAUUCCUCGCAAACGGGAAAGAGUAAAGUAAAGAAGAUCACUGUGGUAUUCAAGUUGAUCAUUGGAUCACUUGAGAGGAGUUGAGUGCAACUCUCGUCCGUUGGGACGCCACAACGUGGAGUAGGCAAGUUUUGUACUUGGCCGAACCACGGGAUAAAUCCUCGUGUCUCUUGUGCUUGUCUUUACUGUGUCUGUUGUGUUUCACAAGAGAACUCCUUUCUAGCCACUUGGCGUUAUUGUGCUAACUCCUAAUCAAGUUUUGUUGGAUUAAGUUUCAAGUUUUUACAGGAUCACCUAUUCACCCCCCUCUAGGUGCUCUCAAUUAUCCAUUUCCCAUUAGCUUUCUUCACCAUAACGGUGUUAGCCGGCCACUCUGGAUAUGUUACUUCUCUGAUAACACCGGUACUGAGAAGUCUCUUUACUUCAUUUCGUGCACCUUCGGCUUUAUCAUCAGACAUUUUCGGAAGCCUCUGCUUUCUUGGUCUGAAGGAUGGGUCCACAUUGAGUGAAUGCUCAAUGACGUCUCUAUUGACACCAUAGAGAUCAUUAGCUGUCCAAGCGAAGACAUCUUCGUUGUUGAACAAGAAUCUAAGCAGAGUCUUUUCCUGUUCACCGGAUAGCUGAGAUCCCCGCAAUACCUUUUGGUUUGCUAUGUCUUCACACAAGAGCAUAGGCUUUGGCUGAUCUGCUGAAGCAGCCUUCUCUCUUUUGUGCUUAUACUACUAAUAAGCUUCGGCUUCAUCUAUAUUAUGGAUAGCCUUCGAAUCCGUCCAACUCCCUUCAGCCCUCCUAGCAGCUUCUUGACUUCCGUGAACAACAAUAGGCCCUUGUUCCAAAGGUAUCAUCAUGCAUAAAUAUGCUAGAUGAAGUAUUGCUUCGAAGGCAUUAAGCGUCCCUUGACCAAUGAUUGCAUUGUAUGGAUACUCCAUAUCAACAAUGUCAAAGACAACCUGUUCAGUUCUUGUGUUAUGGACAUAGCCGAAGGUAAGUGACAUUGUUAUCUUGCCAAGUGCCACAAUCUAUCUUCCUCCAAAGCCACAAAGAGGGUGCGUUGCAUCGUGUAUCUUAUCUUCUGGCUCUUUCAUUUGCCUGAAAGCCUUUGCAAAGAUAAUGUCCGCUGCGCUGCCUAUGUCAACUUGGACAUUGUGGACCAGAAAUCCCUUGAUGGCACAAGAUAUAACCAUUGCAUCGUUGUGGGGAUAAUCUUUGAGCUGAAGAUCUUCCUGAGAGAAGGUAAUUAGAAUGUGAGACCACAUGGAUUUGAUGAAGGGUCCUUGCACCCCAACUUGUUGUACCCUUCUUUGUGCUUCCUUCUUCUCCUUCUUGUUGGCUGGUUUAGAGCUUGAACCACUUGUGAUUGGGAGCACCAGCUUCGUGGCUGAAGGUGCUACAGCUUGAUUGUUGUGCGAAGCCAUCGUCACAACCGUGGAAGUGAGUUCACCGGAGGUGGGCGCCAAUGUUGGUCCUUGUUCUCGGAUGCUACACAUCAAGAACAAAGCAACACAAUUGUUAACGAUUAGGGACCUUCGUCCUUCGAAGCAUUAUCUCCCCUGGGAUAUAUGAUCUUCAGGCGAAGGUCAAGAAGGGCAUACCUUCAUCAUUUCAGUGAAUGAAAUAUAAAUAAAGACAUAUGAAAUACAAAGGAAUAUAAACAAUCAUUACAAAUCAUUAUAUUAUUUACAUUAUCGUUUUAUAAACAUGGAUAAACAUCAAUGAUAUUUAUAUUACAUUUAUACCUUCGGUUUGACAGAAGAUGGAAAAGCGAGAGUGACGCGAGAGUGAUUAUAAUUCAGCGUGAACAGUACGGGGGUACUGUUCAUCUAUUUAUAGGCAUGGGACGCAGCCCGGACAAAAUUACAUCCAUGUCCCUGAUAAUUAAUUAUAAUCAUAUUACAGAUUAUCAGGGGCUAUACAGUCUUUUCCUCUUUAAGUUGGUAUCGUCCUUCGUCUUUAGCAUGUCACCAUGCCGAAGCUCCUUCAAUCGUAGCUUUGGCUUAUAUCUUCAUGUCACACCUGCUUAUGUAUUGUCCUACCGAAGGUGUUUUUGCUUAGAGGACCUUCGGCGAAGAAGAAGGCCCCCAACAUAACCUAUCAUAGACAGGUAUGCCUUUUGAUCAACGGACUUACCUCCUUUGUCGAGGUCCAAGUGUCCGUCCAUUCCCAUCGGCGUCUUAGAGGGCUUUGCAUCCUUCAUCCCAAACCUCUUGAGUAAGUCUUGAGUGUACUUCGUUUGAGAGAUGAAGGUUCCUUCCUUGAUUUGCUUUACUUGGAAUCCAAGGAAGUAGUUCAACUCGCCCAUCAUAGACACCUCGAAUUUCUGCAUCAUUACCCUGCUAAACUCAUCACAAGACUUUUGAUUAGUAGAACCAAAAAAUAUGUCAUCGACAUAUAUUUGGCAUACAAACAAAUGACCAUUAAAAGUCUUAGUAAAAAGAGUAGGAUCAGCUUUCCCAACCUUGAAAGCAUUGGACAUAAGACUGAUUAUAAGAACCACAAGAGUAAGGGAGGGAACAGAAACACACACAAGAACUAGAGUCGCAACAACAACACGCACACAAGUCAAGAACUGAGCACUCAAAACAACGCAGCGGAGCCACAGCUCAAAGAAGUGCUCAAAUCUCAAAUGGAAUGAAUAGAAUGCGUGCUUGCAGAGUCUAGGCAUCUUAGGAUGUUCAAUGGAGACUUGGUGUAGUGCUCCAUGCGCCUAGGGAUCCCUUUUAUAGCCCCAAGGCAGCUAGGAGCCGUUAGAGUUCCAUUUGGAAGGCUUUGGUUGCCUUCUGUCUGUGGGCGCACCGGACAGUCCGGUGCACCACCGGCUAGUGAACAGUGCGUGAUCUCCUUCCUUUUCUAGCAAAGACGAUCGUUGCCAGCCACGGCCCAUGUGGCACACGCACUGGACUGAGCCACGUGUCACUCGCUGAUCGCUCGGUCGACCGCUGGUCGGGCGCGCGGCUGGCACACCGGACAGUCCGGUUAAUUAUAGCCACGGUGCCCUCAGCAUUUUCCCGAGAGUGACCUGUUCGCCAAGGCGCCAGCCUAGGCACCGAACACACACAUGCUGGUGCAAGUUUGGCUAGACUUAGCCAAACUUCUCCAAUCCAAUUUCUCUCGAUUUGACAAGGUUCCUAGCACUUAGUAGAAUAAUGUUAGUACCAAAAACAAUUUACUAAGUCUAGCAUCAUACCUUGCUUUUUCCAUUUGCAUAUCUUUGAUACUUAGCUUAUAUCAAACAAAACAAUAUGUGUUGAGCAUCUCAUCACUAAAACAUUUAUAGAAAUGGCCCAAAGGCACAUUUCCUUUCAGUUUUUUUGUUGAGUUGUUUUUAGAGGAUCACCUAUUCACCCCCCUCUAGGUGCUCUCAAUUGGUAUCGAAGUCGUUCUCUUCAUCAAGGGACUAACCGCCCAAAGAGAUGGAUCCCAAGGGCAAGGGGGUGGUGAUCAACGACAAAUAGAAGGAGACUCUCAACAUAAAUGAGCCAAAAGGUGACAAGCCCACCGACUCAGGCUCAAACAACAAAAGGAAGGAUGGGAGGAAGAAGAGACACAUCAAGAAAAUCAUAUACUACGAUAGUGACACCUCCUCUUCUGCACCAAGGAAUUAGCCUUUAUGAAAGGGAAAUGUACCCUUGGGCCAUUUCUAAAUGUUUUGGUGAUUAAGUGCCUAACACAUCACUUUGAACUAACAUGCUACUAUGAGUAUGAGCUCAGAGUCAAAGAAAAGGAAAUUGAAGUCUUGGAAGAAAGUUGAACAUCCUAUACAAUUGGAGAAACUAAGGUAUGAUUCUAGCACUUAGUAAAAUGUUUUGGUAUUAACUAUGUUCUACUAAGUGCCAGGGAACUUCUCAAAAUGAGAGAAAUUCAAUUGGAGAAGUUUGGCUUAGGGUAGCCAAACUUGGACCAGUCUACGGUGCACCGGACUGUCCGGUGCGUUUCCGGUGCUCAGGCUGCGUACCCAGCGAACAAGCCACUCUCGGGAAAAAGCCAGGGUGCCGCGGCUAUAAUUCACUGGACUGUCUGGUGUGUCAGCCACGCGCCUGGCCAACGUCGACCGUGCGAUCAGCGGGCACCACUUGGGCUCGGCCAACGGUUACUAGGCCGCACCGGACUAUCUAGUGUGCCACCGGACUGUCCGGUGUGCAAAGGGACCAGAGGGUGGCAAUAGCCGGCUUCGCCAAAUAAGGAAGGUAUCGUGCACUGUUCAAUGUCCGGUGGUGCUCCGGACUGUCUAGUGCGCCAACUGACAGAAGGCAAUCAGAGCCUCGCUAAUGGAGCUCCAACGGCACCUGUGUCCUUGGGGCUAUAAAAGGGACACCUAGGCGCAUGGAGCACUACACCAAGCAUCAUUUGAACAUCCUAAUACACUGAGACAUUGCGAUCAUGCUAGAGCUUUGAUAGUUUGAGAUUUGAGCAAGAGUUUGAAUUGUAAUUCAACUAUGUUGUUUCUUAUGCUCCUCUCUCAACUUGUUAGUGUGUUUUGCUAUGAUUUUUGUCUCUUGUGUGCGGUUCUACUCCCCCUUACUCUUGUGUUCAUUUGAGAUCAAAUUGUGUAAGGCGUGAGGGACUCCAAAUUGUGGAGAUUCCUCACAACAGAAAAAAGUUGAGAUAAGAAAUAGAACCGUGGUACUCAAGUUGAUCAGUGGAUCGCUUGAGAGGGGUUGAGUCCAUCCCUCGUCCAUUGGGACACCACAACAUGGAUUAGGCAAGCAUUUUACGCUUGACCAAACACGGGAUAAAAUCGCCAUGUCAUCUGUCUUUAUACCUUAUAGCGAUUCUACUCUUUCUUAUAGUUCACUUCACUUCAUAAUUGCUCUAAGUUUAAUACUCACCUUGUGAGAGCAAUUAAGUGAAGAAGUUCACUCCUCUCAUCUUCUUCAUUCAGACUUGGCUCUUGCUUUCACUAAUCCAAUAUUAGUCCAAGUUUGUUUUGUUGAGUUGUUUUUACAGGAUCACUAUUCACCCCCUCUAGGUGCUCUCAAUUUGGUACUGUCGAAAACGGUCAUUCAUGGUCGUUUUUCGGCCAAAAAUAUUGGUCGUGUACUCAUGGACCUUUGGUGAGAGGCUCCUAUUACUUACCCCAUACAUAUUACCUUGCUAAAAUUUAGUUUCUUGUGUUUUUGGCAGAGCAUUUAUUCAUGUAAAAUCUAUAGGUGUUAGCAUUUAGUAUUGCCGAAAACAGACGUUCAAGCCUGUCAUGGGUGUAGUAAAUCCAAAGGACUCAUUAUUUAUGAGUAUAAGCUAGCUAGAAAAUUAUUGUCUUAGCUCGGUGGUGGCUCAAGAAUGUGUGAUACUCAAUAGAUCUAGACAUCAAAAAAACUUGAAUUCAGUAAACUAGCUAACAAAAAAAUGUGAAACAUGAAAACUGGCCUGAUAUCAUGGGAUGUCCAAAAUUUACACAAGAAAAUGGAUUUGUUGGGGACUUGUUCUCAAAUGCUAUGAGUUAAGAACAAGGCAACACAAAUGUUAAUGGUUAAAGGCGUUCGUCCUUCGAAGCAUUAUCUCCCUUAGGAUAUAAUGAUCUUCAGACGAAGUCUUGAAGGGUAUACCUUCGUCAUCCCAAUAUAUAAUAGAAAGCAGAAGUAUAAAUUACAUAUAAAGAAUAUGAAUAGGCAUCUCAAAUCAUUAGAUCAUUUAUAUAUUUAUUGAAUAACCAUGAAUGAACAUUAAUGAUAUUGAAUUACACUUGUACCUUUGGCUUGACGGAAGGCAAAAGUCUGAGAGUGACGUGCGAGCGGUUACAAGUCAGCGUGAACAGUACAGUGUUACUAUUCAUCUAUUUAUAGGCACAGGACGCAGCCUGUGUAAAAUUACAUCCAUGCCCUUGACAUUUAUUAUUGACUAAGGGCAAACUAUCGAGGACUAGACAACCUUUUCCUCUUUAGGUCGGUUUCAUUUUCCACCGCUAAGCCAAAGCUUCUCCAUCCGUAGCUUCGGAACUGGUUGGUCCUUCUCCCAGAUCGCGCCUUUCAUUCCACGCGCACCUUCAUCUCAAGGCCGAAGGUUCCUGUGAAAGUAUAUUAUACUUGGAAAACAUGUUAGUCGUGUUUCUGAGGACCUUCGGAAGAUGAAGGCCCCCAACAGGAUUUAAGAAACAACACAUGCUUGAGUGCCAAGUUUGCCAUGUUUGACAUGUCAGAACCAACAAAAAGUCGAGAAAUCAUAAUCCAAAAAGAGCAAAAGGAGUGGAACAAGAGUGAAGGUGAUUUGUUGUUUAUAGUUUACUUUAUUUUAUAAAAGAAUUUAAAAAGGGAGUUGGAAAAGAGUGAAUGAGGUUUAUUGUCUAUAGUUUUUAAGGGGCAUGGAGUGGGACAAGAGCGACAGUGAUUUGAUGUUUAUAGUUUUUAAAGAUGAUUUGAUGUUUAUAGUUUUUAUAAGGAAAUAAGUAGAGAACUGAUGAUGACUACAUGCUUUUGCUUUUUGUUUCUUUUCUUUUGAGAGGAGUGCAUGUCAUGCGUUUGUUUUGAACUUUUGCAUGAGAGGAAAAGAGCUAGGACCUACUUAUAGCAAUUGUGUACACGUGUUAGUCUUUGAACUAGCUGGCCAGGGUUUUUUCAAGGAACAAAAAUAGGACGGCCAGCGAUGUCUGUGGCGUGCCAUACGUUAAUGUCUAGCUUCCUUGCCUCCAUUGUCCAUAAAUACAUGAGCAUCUGCAACAUCGAUCUCCACACACACACAUCCAUCAAAGAAACAAGCGCACAAGAUCAAAUACCUCGCCGCCAACAAUGGCCUCCAGGUCCUCCAUCCUGCUCGCCAUGGUGAUGCUGGCUGCGCUAUUCGUCGUUGGUUUGUGCACCACCCCCCUCACCUUCCAGGUCGGCAAGGGAUCCAAGCCUGGCCACCUGAUCCUCACCCCCAAUGUUGCCACCAUAUCCGACGUGGAGAUCAAAGAGCACGGUGGCGAUGACUUCUCCUUUACGCUCAAGGAGGGCCCGACUGGCACCUGGACGCUCGACACCAAGGCCCCGCUCAAGUACCCCCUUUGCAUCCGCUUUGCUGUCAAGUCCGGCGGCUACCGCAUCGCCGACGACGUCAUCCCUGCCGAUUUCAAGGCCGACACCACCUAUAAGACCACACUCAGCAUCUAAUCAAUCUCUGGUGAUGAAUUAGAUUUCAAAAGAGCUCAUCUAGCGCACAUGUUAGCAAGACAAUAUUAUUUUUUCUAUGGUUAUUUUGUGGAACCAAACCACCCAAGAAAUAAGUGAUGCUAGAUGUACCUUCUGACCUUGUUGUAUUGGGUUGAUAUUAUUACAUAAACUAAAUACAUUAUUUAUUUAAGAUUUUAGGAGAAAUAUGUUGAUCUGGUCCACCUUCAUUAUCGAGAUGGUUGUAAAUUACAUUUUCCAAUUUUUCAUACUUAUGAAAUGCUUUGUGACACGACCACGCCAUUAAGCAACACGUUACAACCCCCAAGUCAUACUACAUCAACUCAAGUACAACCAACAUCAUCACCAAUCCAAGUCUUUGAUGGACCAAUUACACGUAGCCGAGCUAAGAAGCUACAACAAGAGGUGCACACGCUACUUUAUAAAUUUCAAUUAAACACUAAUGAGAACUUUAUGCUACCUAAGUCGUGUAUGUUGAUAUUACAUAGGUUCACCAAAGAGGAAGGACAAAACAUAUCAAGGGCGAAUCAGCAAGAAGAGCUAUGUUCGAGUCAGUCCAGCGCAACAGAACCGUCCAGAAGAAACAGUCAUAUCUUUUGAUUCCCAAAAGCUAUGAAGGCCCAUAAGUAUUUUUUGGAAAGCUCUUGAAGUCUAGUUUCCAAUGCUUCUAAGGCCGACUUAAUCAAAUCUACCAGAAAGGCAGCCGACCUACUUUAGUGCUGACUGGUCAGAAAGUCAACAGUCUGUUUGAUGACCAAGUUUUUGUAUUAAACUGCAUCAUCUACGAAGUUUCUUUAAGCAUGCUAUACAUGGUGAGAAAGCUUAUCAAGUCAACUUUCCAACACAUCCAGCCCCACCUCAUUUGUAGAUUCCUAGGAGAAGUUAUUAUCAAAAUACUAAAGGUUGUGCAGAAGUCAAACAGCCAUACGGAAAUCAGCUCUGCAGAACUCUCGAAGAGGCUCCUUCACAUUAGCACGUGAAAAUACUUUUGUUUCGUGUUUAUACCUCUCUAAGGCUGGUUGUUACUAGUAAAAAUACCCCCUAUGUCUAUGAUGUAAGGCAACUUUUGAUAAUCUAAAAACAGAACCCUUUUGUUCAGUUGUGUGCUAACAAAUAUUGAGAGUGAUCUCUACCCAUUUGCUCUUGUGAAUUCUUUCGCGGGAUUGCAGAAGCAGCAACUUUAUCUGCUCCCAAGUGUUGCUCCUACUCCCUUUGAGGUAUCCUCGAUUGAUUGUAGGCUGUGUUGGUUGGUUCUUUGAGAGUGUGGUUGGGCGAAUCCUCGAUUCAGGUUGCCGAUUAAAGACGGUGGUUGGCUUCGAGUUUUAUUUGUUAGGUUGCACUAGUUAUCGCUGCUUGCAGCAAGUUAUCUUGGCUUCUUGGAAGCUAGUUAUCUGAAGAUUGAUCCUACGUCGUGAAGAUCGGGCAUCGUGAUGCAUCAUUUGGUAUCAAAGCCUCAGUUGCCACGGUAGAAUUCUUUACCCCUAGCUACAUCUAUUUUGUGUUCGUCCUAUCCACCAAAAAGCCAUAAAAUAUUUUUGCCAUAGCCCUUUGUUUCAAUCUAUUGUUCCAGUGAGUUUUGUUAAGUUUUAGUCCUUAGAGUCUUUGUUUAGUUGCUGGUCACUCUAUCCUUUGUGUUCCCUUUGAGC